AGAGCCAGGCAUUCCUGCAAUGAAACAUGGCCCAAGCUUCUUUUCAGGUUCUUCAUCAAGUUUCUUAUAGAAGCCUGGCAAUGAUCUGAACACCGUGUUGAAAUCGUUUCGGGGAAGAUCAUUCAAGAAGGCUUGGAGUGAUGGAGGUGGGCGGUUGCGCUUUUGGAAAGUGUUGCGGAUGUUGUCUAUGAUAUCUGAUACCACCAAAAGGGUGUUGGGUCCUGAAGAGCAUCCCAAGUCCGCUACUUUCAAACACUCUGGGAACAGAGUGCAACACAGCUCCUCUAUGCUUGCAUCAACUAUAGGCUUCACCGUUGAAAUCACUGCUCUCUGAAAGUUAUAAAAAUAAAAAUAAAAAGGGUUUAAGAAAGCAUGAAUAUUGCAUAGUUUUGGUUAGCAAAAUAGUUUGAGAACAAGCCAUGCUCUUUAAGUGUGCUUGAUAUAAAAUCAACGCAACUAGAGAGAGAGAGAGAGAGAGUAACUUGAAGUAGGGAAUUGUUUGCAUAGCUUGUUUUCCCAACUCCUCCAUUCAUGUGUAGAACUUGCUCUACCUCCAUUUUUAUGUUCUCAAAUAAUACUCCUUCCUCUCUCUCUCACUCUCUUUCUCUUGGUAUCUAUUCUGCUGGAAGACUCCCUCAUAUUUAUAGCAAAAUGCUUACCCAACACAACGAACCUUACUUUUUUAGUUGGAAAGUAAGUGUUAUCUAACAUGAUAUCAAAAUUCCCAUAAGUCGCCAACGUUGAUUAUAUUCUAGGUCUUAAGUGAUAUAUGGUGGUUAAGGUGUUGGAGGAGUAAAAUGGGAGGGGUUCAAUUCCCCUUUGUGUUUUUUCCCCCUCUCUUUUUUCCCUUUUUUUUUCUUCUUCUUUUUCCUUUUUUUUUUUUCUUUUACAUCGAUAUUUUCGAUAUUUUAGUGAUAUUACACCGAUAUUUUCGAUAUUUCAUCGAUAUUAUCGAUAUUUCAGACUAUGAUCUUAAGUAUUAAAUUCCUAUGUAACUAACACAUCUUUGGCAGCAUUAGGUGUCUAACAGUGUACACUACUUUUCCUGAAUUAAAAGUUUGAUGGAAGUGCUGGUCUCUCCUUUCCUAUUAAGUAGCUGCAAAUGGACAAUUAAAUCUUGUCUUCUUCUUUUUUUUUUCAUACAAACGAUAUUAGAGGCGGAGAGAUUUCAAAUUGUAUCACGGGACUAUGAAAAUAAUUAUUUUUCGAUCGGAUGUAUUGUACAAUACAUGUCCAUCGUGUGAAACUCGUGGUCGGUGGAGAGCGAGGGCCAUCUUUUGGAGCUUAAUGACGUGGUUCAUCCAUGACCAAUGAAUCAUGCAGCAGAGCCGAAGGGGACAAUAAUGUGAGAUCGAAUGGUCUUGUUCAAAAAGAAUUUCCUUUCCAUGGGGAAUUCUCAAUUUCUCAUGCCCAGUGUUAAGAAACUAAAAUGAGGCCUAUUCUUUUUUGUCUUAUUUUAAUGUUUCCCUUGAACUUUCAUCAAUUUGGGCAAAACAAAAUGUUAACUUGCCGACAUGACUUGAGCAUAUUUAGUAGUUUGGGACACCUGACGAAGAGAAUAUUGAGUCAGUUGAAAGUUCGAAAGAGAAAUUGAAAUUCGAAGAAAAAAAAACAAGGUGACUAUGCUAUUAGCCUGACGCAGAGGCGGCCCUGGGGUGGUGCAAGUGGUGCCAUCGCACAGGGCCCCCGAUUCUAAAAGGGCCUCCCGAAAAAAAAUUCUUUAUAUUAUAUAUAUAUUAAUAUUAUAGGAAUUGUAUAUAUAGUAUAGCGUGCUAGACAUUUGCACAAGGGCGUGUCUGGUGGAGUUGGUUCCAGCGCUUCUCCAUUUAACGUAGCGCCAGAGUUUGAUUCUUGUUGAAGUCGGUCCAUAUGCUGUUUUUAUAUUAUUUUUGCAUUAUAACUAAAAACUUUACAUAAUAAAUAAAUAAAUGAAAAACCAAAAAUCCUUGAAAUAAAAGGAAACAUCGAAGCUAACCACAGGGAGGAUUAUAUAUAUAUAUAUAUAUAUAUAUAUAUAUCCUCCAAACACUUUCUACUCCGAUCAUUCUUUUAAAAAAAAAUUUAAAAAAAGUUUUCUCAUCUAAGAAAAGUAUUUUUUUCAUUCAAAACAAAACAAAAAAAACUUCAUGGAUUCUUCUUUUCUUUUAAACUCUGAUUUUCUGAUAAGUAAUCAUCAUCAUUCAUCAAUCUCUCUUUGGUUCUUUUUUCAAUCCUUUGAUAAUUUUAGUUAUUCUUUCAAUUUCAGGAAUUUCAACACCAAAAAGAGAAAACCCUAAUUCCUAUAUUCAUAAAGAACACUCAAAAUCAAAUAGUCAAAUUCAAAUUUCAGGAAUUUGUGUGCAACUACUCUUUAAUUUGUGAUUGCCAAUUUUUUUUUCCAAUUAAACACAAAUUGCUUAUUGGAGGCAGCAAAGGACCUUGUAGGGGCACAAUGAGCUUAUUUUUGUACCAAAUAUUUAAUUUUAUCAAAUAGAAACAUUUAAAUUUUUAUGAAUUUGAUUUCUAAUUGUCAUUACAUAUUUAUUCAUGACUUUUAGUUAUAAAAAAAUUGUUUAUGACAUUAAGUUAUGCCAAAUUUUUAUUUAUAGUAUUUCGUAUUAAAUUAUGUGAAGCUCCAAUUUAAGUUCGCACAGGGCCCUCAAAAUCUCAGAGACGGCCUUGGCCUGACGGUGUUGUCUAUAGGAGUUUCCAUUGCUCACCAAAAAACAGCAGCAAAUCAUAAACCCAGAAAUAUUUAUAAUAAAGAAAGAAAGAAAGAAAGUUUAGAAAAGGUAACAACUUUAGGUGGGGAAGAGAGAAGAGAAGGGGAGGGUCAGAUAUUUUCUAGGGUUGGCAAAGAUCCGUGUGUUUUUUAAACUAGUAUAAAAAAAAAUAAUAAGGGUAAACUACAGUAAAUCCUCCAACAUGUAGGGUCAUUUACGAAUUCAUACCUGCUUUUGGGGACAUUUAUGGGUACAUACUCAACGUCAUGGAAAACCUACAUAUUGCCCUCUCUGUUGUGUGCCUACGUGGCGUCUAGCUGGACAAUUUUUUAAGGGCAUUUUCGGCAGAUCAAGUCCCUGGGUUUCGCACCCAAAACAACACGUGGUUUACUUUAAUUCAAAAAAGAAAAACAGAGAACCCCCAAAUCGAGUUCCAUAUCUAAGCCCCCACUCAGACCUAGCCCCCAAAUCAAUAGAAGUGGAUACCCAGGUUCCAAUUGGAAGAAGACAAAGACGACGAUGUCAACGAGGUGGAUGAUGUCUGUAAAUCGAAGAUAGGAAAUGGGCCAGCCCAUUUGUCACUGCGGCAAUUAAUGUUGUCUGACAACGUCGUGGACUGACAACAACCUUGGGAGAAGAUUUUGGGGCUGCACCGAUUAUGGGGUAAAAAGAGGUUGUGCAUUCUUUGAAUGGUAUGAUCCACAGGUAUGCGAAAGGUCCAAGAUUGUGAUAUCUGGACUAUUGAAACGACUGCGUAAGGAAGAAGAGGAAAACCGAAAAUUGAAAAAAGAGGUUGGAGCUGCCUUGAAAGCACAAAGAUUUCUACAAGCAAGUGUUCUGGGUUCUUGGAUUUUUUUGAUUGUGUGGUUGGGAAUGCUAGUACUGGAAUGGAGAGACUCUGGAUCUUCCAAGAAUGUGAAAUUAGCACUUACAUUUUAAGGUCUAUAUCUUAGAAGAGUUAGGUGAUGUUUUUUGUGGUCAUUUAUGGGACAUUUUGGAAAAUCAAAGUGCUUUGUGUAUAAAAUGCCUGUUUCUUGUAAUUUCCCAUGUGAAGUUGUAUGAAAGAUGUUUAUGUAUAAACAAUUGUGAGGCAAUUUGGAAAUGCAUACUGUUUAUGUAUGCACAAUUGUUAGGGAAUUUCCAAUUGAACAAUUGCUUGAAGGCAAAUUCCAUUAUAUUGUGAGUUCAAAAUACAUACAUACUUUUCCAACAUUUGCAGCUCAAAUUUACAAAAUGAACAUGAGCACCUAAUCUGGAAUACAAUAAAACAGCUACCAAAAGUAAACUUAUCAGGCCACAUCACAAAACUAGAAGUUGUACUAGUUCAAAAUAAAUUGGAAUUUGCAUAAACUAAGAACUAAGAACUAAGAGCCUAUGUUCUCUGUCUCUUGGAUGCUCUCAAUCCUAUUCCAGCAAUUUCAGCUACAUUUGGCUAGGAAGCACUUAGUGCAGUCUUCUUUGCAGCAGCAGCAGCCUUUGCCCUUGCAUAUACAAGCUUUCUCCUAACUCUUACAGCUGUUUUUGCUUUAUCCUACAGAUAAAAUACACUUUCAGCUUCAAACAAUAAAACAAUGAAAUUGCUUUUCCAUUUUAAGGAAGAAACAACAUAACAUUUCAUCAAUAGCAUAGCAAUAAAAAUAGGCACUCACAGCAGCAACUGCAGGGCCUUGAUUAGAUAUUUUUCUUGGUCUUCCUUUACCCCUUGAAAGGGGUUUUUCCUUUUGAGGUAGAUUCUGAUGAUGAGUGGUUUUGUUAUGGCCAGUUGAGCCACAAAUACUACACCUCAUUUGCAUUCCUUGUCUUCCAAACCAUUAUUUCACAGUCUUAUCUAUUCUCUCUUCAGCUCCUUUUAUCGUCACCUUUCUAGGUCUUCCAGGUUGUCUAGUGUAGGCUGGUGACUUUAUUGCUGUCUAGUUGGUCUUCUCCCAUAGCUGUGAUCCAUUAAUUGGCAUAAUGAGAUUGUUAUAGAGGGCCAUGUAAUUGUCCUUGAUAUAGUAUGAAUGCAUAUAAUCCUCCACAGCUUUACCUCCUUUGUAAUGUAUGGCAGCAAUUCCAUGAGCACAAAGAAUGCCUGACAAGUCCCACUUUUUGCAAGAACAAGUGUGAUUAUCCAAAUCCACCACAUAUUGGUCACCUUUUCCUGCAUCCACUUGAUAUUUAGGACCACCAGACCACUACACAGUACAAUUACAUGCUUCUAUCUUUUUCUGUUGCACAUGGUCAAAAAUGUUCUUGCAUAUUUUAUUAGGCCAACUGCUCAUCUUGUCCCUCCUCCACUGGAUCCUUCUCAUCAAUAAGCACCUGAUCAUCUCUAGCGUUGGAUAAUUGGCAUGUCCCUUGCUGUCUUGAUACUAUUGUUGAAGCUCUCAUACAAGUUAUUCUGCAGCAUAUCACACUUAAUAUGUGUUUUGAAAUAAGACUUACUCCAUUGUGUUCGUGGCUUCUCAGCAAGCCACUCCCAUGCAUUGCUAUCUAAGGUCUUCAUUACUUCCAUUUGAUACUUAAAACAAGGCGCAUUGGUAGCUCUAGCACAUGUCCAUAAUUGAUCCCUCAAUACUUUACCUUUAUACGUUUUGUUGAAGUUAUCCCAAAGGUGCCUCACACAGAAUCUUGUCUCAGCAUUAGGCACAAUGUCUUCAAAUGCACAAGGCAGUCCUUUUUGCUUGUCAGAUAUAAAGGCCCAUCCAUGAGAAUUAACAAUGUCCACAUCCUUGGCCAACAGAUCAAUGAACCAUGUCCAUGACUCCCUUAUUUCCAUCUCAACCACAGCAUAUGCUAGCACCCAAGUCUCGUUAUUGGGAUCGAUCCCAACUGCUGUAAGCAACUGUCCACCAUAAACCCCUUUUAAAUGGCAUGCAUCUAACCCAAUAAAAGGCCUACAGUUCAUCUUAAACCCUCUCUUUAAUGGUUCUAGACAAAUGUACAAACGCUUGAAAACAGUUUCACCAUCAACAAACUCACACUACAUCUUUGUUGUGGAGUCAGGGUUUUUGUCUUCCAGCUCAUGACAAUAAUCCCAGCGCAUGGCAUAUUGCUCAGCAACUGAUCCUUCAAUCAUUCGAAGCGUGUCUGCCUUUGCCCUGUAAGCUUUCAUCCUAGAUAUACCUACUUUAAACUCAGAAGAUGCUGCAUUCACUAUAGAAUGUGGAGGCAUGGUGGGAUUUGACUGAAUCCUAGGCAGGAACUUCUCUGUCAACCAUUUACUUGAGGCUUGUGUGUUUUCAAAUACUCUGACACAAUUGUGAUUGGGAUUAUAAUAUUUCACCACCAAGCUUCGAUCUGUAGGGUUUUCCCUAGCCAAAUAAAUCUGCCAUGGACACUGCUUUACAAACUGCCUUCAACUUAUACUUUUCAUUCCUGGUGAAAGCGACCUCUUUCCCACUCAACAAGCAAUAUUCACGAACAGCUUCUCUGAAAACCUUGCAGUCACUGAAUAUCAUUCCAGUAUCAAAAACAGGGUUUUGUUUGUCUGUUUCAUGGUUGUAGUGUUUGAAUUUUUUCCCCCUUGCAACUGUUUCAUCAUCUUCAUCUAAAUGAACACUUCUUAACUCAUCCUCCACUGCUUGACCCCCCCUCUUCCAAUCUGGUGUCUUCAAGAUCUGUGCGGUGAAAAUUUGUAGUCCGAGAAGUCUACUCCCUAUUUUGACCAGUCUGUGAAGGUUAGUCUUCAUUUUGACCAGUCUGUGAAGGGUGGUCCCCACUUGGACCAGCUUGUGAAGGGUGGUCCCCACUUGGACCAGCAUGUAAAGGUUGGUCCCCACUUGGACCUUCACCCUCAUUAACAACACCACCUUCAUUAACAGCACCACAUUCACCCUCAUUUAUCUUUUCAUCUUCAAGAGGCUGAAAAGUAUCUUCAACUGGGGCAUGGUCUGCAAUCCAAUGUUGCAAAAAUAUGGUUUUCUCAGCUAUCUCUUUAAUGUUUCCCCCUCCCCCCAAUACUCACUGUCAACAAAAGUAGAUGCAUCUGAUAAGGAUGCAUCACUAUCUUCCCUUCUGUUGCACUUGCCAUUGCCACACCUUUACCCUUUGAAGACUUUAUAGCCCUUGUAGCCCUUGCCCUCUUUGGUGCCUCAGGUUCAGCCACUUUUUUACCCUUUGAAGACCUAGUAGCCCUUACACUCUUUUGUGGCUCAGGUUCAGCCACUUCCUUAUCCUUUGAAGACCUUGCAGCCUUUGCCUUCUUUGCUGCAUCAGCCACUGUUUUACCCUUUGCAUUUUUUGGUGCCUCAUGUUCUGAAAAAUCCCCAACAUCCUCCACUGGUUCUUGCUCCACUAUCUUCACUGUUUUACCCUUUGCAUUCGUUGGUUGCUCAACAUUGCUCCUUGUCUUAUAAGGAACAAGAGGAAUAGAAUCAGCACAUCCUAUAUCCUCAAUCACGACUUACCUCUGUUUUUGUACCCCAGAACCUUCCACCCUUUGCAGCUCGAUCUCUUUGUGUUUGUUUAAAAAGGUAUAAGGGUCAUCAGCCAACUGUGUCAAAAAUAUAUUUAUCUCCCUUACUCCUGGCACACAUUCACACAUUUUCAGAACAUCUUCAUCAGACAUAAGCUUCUCUACAGAAGCAGAGUUGGGAAGCUCAUAGUGAUAUAACACUAUACCAUCAUAGCCUAACUCCUUAACCAUCAUACCAAUUUCAAACAUAGACAUUUGGUCCUUAUCACAAAAAUCAAUGAAAUCCAGAGUCCCAUUUACAUACAGGUUGUCACAUAAAGAACCCCCAUGGUUCAUUCGAAUAGUAAACUUAUCAUCUUCACCUACAAAGCCACAUAACAGUCAAACCUAUCAAUACAAAAUUGUUCAAUAUUUAACUGGUGACUAAACAAGGACAUAAAUAAAUGCAGAGGUUUUGGACCACUAAGUACUGUCUUGAAUCGAAAGCAGUUUGGUUUGAAAGAAAAAAAGUGCUUUUUUUUUUAUGCCUUUCCAACAACACAACGACAUAAAUGGACCAUGGACCACAAAUAUCACUAUCACGCACACUUCAAAGCAACUGAAAGGUUCAGACAAAAUCAAACCGCACGCAUCUUAACCCUUUACGAGGAAACCAAAAAGCAAGAAAAGUUAAAACUGCCUUCAACUUACAGUAAUGAGGAGCACGACAACCACGAGGACGAAUACCCCACAGCAUCUCGAAUUACAGCAACCCAGCCUUCUUUGCGCCUUCGAUCGAUGCAAAAUGGCGAUUAGGUUUCAAUUUGUGCAAUCGGUUUCGAUUUGGGGGGGAAAUCGAUUUCGGUGAUGGAGGUUAUGGACGACGAGCUUCUGGAACAUGGAUUCGGGGGUUUUUUUAUUUAUUUAUUUUUUUAAUUACAUAAUGCCACGUGUUGGUUUGGGCGCGAAACCUAGGGAUGUGAGAUGCCGAAAAUGCCCUUAAUAGAUUUCCUGAAUUACAAAAGGCUAGACGCCACGUAGGCAUAUAACAGAUUUCCUGACUGACUCGCUAACGGAGGGGGCAAUAUGUAGGUUUUCCGUGACGUUGAGUAUAUACCCAUAAAUGUCCUCAAAAUCGGGUAUGAACUCGUAAAUGACCCUAUAGAUUUGGGGGUUUACUGUAGUUUACCCAAAAAAAUAAUAACAAAACAUAUGUAUUUUUCUCUUCUUUUAUUUUUAAUUUUUUUUUAACUUUGAAGAGAAAAGGUACACUAUACAUAAAAAUAAGGGAAAUAGCCCUAAAUGCCACCAUUUUUAUAAUUGUAAUUAAAAAUACCACCCCUUCCCAAUUUUUGUACAACUAUCACCUAUAAAUAUAAAAUUAUUGUCCACUUAUUGCAAUUUUUUCACAAGUCCAGAAAUUUUGUUCUCUCUUAGCUCACACAGCUCUCUCUCUCUCUGGCACAGCUCUCUUUCUCUUUGGUAUCUGUCUAUCACAGCUCUCUGCGUCUCUCUUGGCUCUCUAUCUCUUGGCUCUCUCUCUCUCUCUAGCACAACUCUCUGUCUCUCUCUUUGCUCUCUUUCUCAUAGCGCAGCUCUUUCUCUCUCUAGCUUCGUUAUGUCUGUUUCUCCCCUAUUCGAUCUCUUGCUCUUUGUUUGGAAUCGCGAACUCCUCCCUUUAGCUAUGUCUUCUGAAUAGCUGCUUGCAACCUUGAAGCUCUAGUGGAUUGUCGACCUCGAAAAGGUAGUGUUGAUGGUUAUUUUGUUAAUAUCAGUGGGAUUAUGUGAAAUGGGUUAUAGUUUGAUUGUUGGGUUUGUGUUAAAUUUGUUUUGGCUUUAAUUUCUUUGGGUUAGGUUUUGUUGAAUAUUCAUGCUCAUUCAUCUGGGUUUGUACCAAUUGCAUUUAGAUUGGUCUGGAUAUGUGAAUCUUGAAACUUGGGAUUUUUCAUUUGAUGUAGUAGAUCUGUAUAGUGUGAUUCUGAUGUGUUACUGGUGUAGUGUUGUUGUGUUCCUCUUAUUUUACUGUCGUAUUGCUGUUAUAUUGACAUUAUAUUGUGUCUAUAUUGCAGUUAUAUUGUGGUUAUAUUGCUAUUGUAUUGUAUGGUUAUUGUGGUUAUAUUGGGUUAAUGAAAUGUUGUUUUGUCAUGGUCAGAAAUGGAGACAAUUAUUAUUCUCGUGUGCUACAAUGAAAAAUGGGUCACCUCGAAGAAGAUGUCCAAAUACGAAGGGGGUGACUCAAAAGGCUUAAUAGUUCCACGGACUAUCAAAUUUGCUGAACAGUUGGACCGUGUGCAUCAGAUUGGUAAUACAAAUAGCAGGGAAGACAAGGUUUGCUUAAAAUUCUCAGUUUUAGUGGCCUCGAAUGAGUGGAAGCACAUAAAGAUUGAGGACGAUGAUGAUGUCAAUUUUUUUAUGAAGUACAAUUCCAAGGUAGCACCUUCAAAACUAGCUCCCUUACUCGUGAGUAUAGAAGAUAAAGGACUGACAAAUGAUGUAGUUCAUAGUACUCAUAUCACGACAGAUAGUAGUCGGAUGGGUCAUUCUUCAGUUGCCAUUGUUGAAAGCAAUGAAGUAACUUGGAAUAAUAAAAAUGUCACUGAUGUGGGAGGUGAAUUAGGGACAGAUUUUAUGGAUAUGAUUGAUUUUAGCGAGGUGGAGGAGAUGCAUGGUGGUGAUAAUGGUACUGAAAGAAAUGAAGUGUCAGUGUACUCUGCCCCUCCUAAUUUGGGCUGCUUGAACACAGCUACCCAGUUGCCAAUAAUGCGUUUAGGAGGAGAAUCUGAACCCACUCGUCAACAUUAUUGGAGUCAAAUGGGUGAACAAAACCGGUACAAUGAAGCCGGUGUAAAUGAUGACGGAGCAUAUUUGGACAGCGGGUUUUCACGAAGUGAUUGGAAUCCGAAAAUUACAGUUGGGAAAUUUUCUCUAGUAAGAAAGCAUUGUUGACGGAGUUACGGUUCACGGCAUUAAGAGGCCACUUUGAAUUUAAGGUGCAAUUCUCUUGCACUAAGAGGUUGCUUGUGGUUUGUUGUCAACUUCCAUGCCCAUGGCGGGUCCGAGCAUCUAGAAUUGGAGAAUACAUCUUCAUGAUUGUGAGGUGUACAACUGUUCAUGAAUGUGAUUUGAGGUUCGUAUGUGACAAGCAUCGUCAAGCAACCGUAGCACUUGUAGCCACUUCACUUAAAAGGAAGUUGAAGGAUUCUCAGACAAUAUACACACCAAGUGACAUUAUGAGAGAUGUGAAACACAGUUUUGGUUGCACCAUCCAUUAUUCGAAAGCUUGGAAAGCAAGGGAGUUAGCUCUAUUGUCCAUUAGAGGAUCAGCGGAGGAGGCAUAUUAUAUCCUUCCAGCUUAUUGCUAUGAAUUGGAGCGUAUGAAUCCCGGCACAAAAACACACAUCCAAACUGAUGAGAACAAUCACUUUGUGUAUUUAUUUAUGGCGGUUGGCGCAUGUAUUAGAGGGUUCCGUUCUUCCAUACGCCCAGUGAUAGCCGUGGAUGCCACUCAUUUAAAAUCCAAGUACAAGGGUGUUAUGUUUGUAGCAAAUGCAUUCGAUGGUAAUCGAAAUAUAUAUCCUCUUGCUUUUGGGAUUGGGGAUUUGGAGACGGAUGCAUCAUGGCAUUGGUUUUUCACUAAACUUCAUGAAGCCAUUGGUGAGUGUCUCAAUCUUGUUAUUAUUUCUGAUCGCAAUGUUAGCAUAGAGAAUGUGUGGAACAAAAUUUUUCCAACUGCAGAACAUGGCAUAUGCUUUUAUCAUAUGAAGGGGAACAUGAAACGCACUUGCAAGUUGAAAAAGCGUGAUCACAUACUUAUGCACUUUGAGCAGGCUGCGAAAUCUUAUUCCAUUGCUGAAUUUGAUUGUCAUUUUCGCAACAUCAAGCGAAAGGAACAUGUUGCUCAAUAUCUUGAAGAGGCAGGGUUACAUAAGUGGUCUAGAGCUCACAUGGAUGGACGCCGCUACAAUGUAAUGACAACAAAUAUUGCGGAGUCAAUCAACUCAGUUCUUAGGUUUGCAAGGAUGCUGCCAGUGGUUCAUUUGAUAGGGGAAAUUAUUAAUCUCCUUGUGAAAUGGUUCACCGAACGUCGUGAGUUGGCUUUGAAUUGCACAACAACAUUGUGCCCCAAUUUCGGAGAGAAGAAGUUGAGGAACAGGUUGGAGGAUGCUGCAAGGAUGAAUGUGGUUAAAUUAAAUAAUGCACAGUUUAAUGUUUUGGACGGUGAUAAGGACGGCCUCGUAAAUUUGACGAACAACAGUUGUAGUUGUAGAAAGUUUCAGCUUGAGCAGCUACCUUGCAAGCAUGUAGUUGCAGUUUGCCGCUUCUUGAAAGUAAAUGUAUACUCAAAGGCUUCUCGGUAUUACACUCGGAAAACCUGGAUGGAUGCUUAUUCGGAUACCAUCUACCCGGUACAACCUCACGGAAUGUGGGAUAUUCCUGAAGAUGUUCGAAGUCGAGUUGUGCUGCCUCCCAUGGCAAGGGUCAUGCUAGGCAGACGAAAGAAGAUAAGAAUUCCCUCGCAAGGAGAGGGCACCAUUAGAAGAAAGUGCUCAAGGUGCGGUUCCGCAGGCCGCAAUAAAAGCACCUGUAAAAACAAUAUUCCAUUGCGCAAUGUAUCUUAGACAAUAUGAUUUGUGUUGCUUUGGUAGGUCAUGUAAACUCUACUUUUAUUCGUGGUGGGUUUCGUGUUAUGUUCAAUGGGAAUUCUUUUAAAUUUGCAUAAUUUCGGUUGCAUUGCUACAGCAUGUUGUAUUGCUGACAGAUUGCUAUUAUAUUGUACGUUUAUUGCACUGGUAUUGCUUCCAGAUUGCUAUUAUAAUUUGAGUGCGAAAUUAAAGGGACUGGAAUGUAAUUCCAAAUGGAUCCAAAACAUUAAAGUUCUUAAAAUUCCUUUAUUACACAGUUACUGUGAUACUCCGACUAUACCUUCUUUUCUGAUUACAAAUUCGGCCGAUGCAUAGGCCAGAUGUGGGGCAAAUACAAGGUGAAAUGUCCUGUGUGUUUGACUACAUAUACUUGUUGAAGGAGCAUUACGAAUGUCAACCUCAAUAGAUUGCUCAUGUCUUGCCAAGAACACUCUUGAAUUUAUGCAAUGUGCCCAAGCCAGUCCCAAAGCUGGACUCACCCGUCUGCCUGAUGUGUGCAGGGACUCCAAGUUUCCCAACCUCACCCCAUUCACUCCAUCAUGUGGCCCAAUAAAAUCCAUCACUUGGUUGGUGACAACCACGCCAACCCAAACUUAUUUGCUAAACCCUUCAAUGUCCCAGAUAUGUUGAAGAACAUUUCAGACCACCGUUUCAAAUCUGCUGGUGUUGUCUGAUACUGUGAUCGGAACAAUGCAGCAAUGGAAUCAAUGACAAUGAGUUUCACAGGUAGGCGGGUGUGAUCAAUGGCAAUAAAUGCUUCUAUGUCUCCAAGGACAUGGAUGAGUUGUUGAGCAUCAUGAACACCAUGAACAUAUAUGUCUUCCAAUGGCUCCAACCUUAUUAAGUUGGGGUAUGAUGCAUGAUAAAGGUUGCCUAGUUGUUGCAAUCGACGAAAUGGGAAGCUGAAUUCUGUGAAUAUGUAGACGGAGGAGCCCCUUAGUCCGCCAUGUAAGGGUGGGAGCUGAGCUCGUACCGUAAGUUGGAGACAAAGCUGCGUCUUCCCGGAACCACUCUCCCCUACUAAUUCUGUUAUGGAGUUGCAGGGUAUCCCACCCCCCAAGGAGUGAUCUAGUAUUGGGCAUCCAAUGGAUAAUUUAGGGGUUGAAAGAGGAAGGAGCAUGAGGUUUUGGGGUGUCAUGUUUGUGUAAUUUAGGGGCCGAUGUGAUGGUGCUACAAGGCAUGCAUUAUAUAUAUAUAGAGUUCAUUUUGAAGGUCUGUACUGUAGGCCAUACGUCUUUUAAGGGAUGUAUAAUUCAUCCUUUUUUCAAGUUGUAAUUACUUUUUUGUUUAUUUAUUACUAUUUUUUUGGACCAAUUAAUUUAAAAAACAUUCUGAUGCAGUACGUACUGUAAUAGGAUCAUAUUGUAACUCUAUCAUCACUCUAUUGUACUCUUAUUGACAUAAUAUUGCCAUUAUACGCAUGUUUAUUGUAUAGUUAUUGCUGCUAUAUCGCCACUAAACUGGACACCGAUAAACUGUAUACACACAAAUACAAAAAGAGGCUUCAUCAUUCCAUAAAAUCCUAAUUCCAAACUUACAUAAUACAACAACAGGCCACCCCAUCAUUACAUAAUACAAAAAUAGGCCGCCUCAUAGUUUCAUUUCCCUGGUGUUGACAAAUUCGAAGUUGCAUAGUCUUCAAGUGCGGUGACCGCGACCCAUGAAAUUCAUGACCCCGGCCACAGUGAUGUUGGCCCAGGAUCCUGCCGGAUCCACUAUUUUUGCAAACUUACGAAAAUUUUCAAAUCCGCUUUCCACUUCUUCUUUCUUCAACUUGGCCAUUGCUUCUGAUUCCUUGAAUACCAUAAUUGCAGUGGCAGGGGCAAUUUCAAUUUUUGCUUUCAUUGCCUUUAUAUGUAGGAGAUGCAUGCGAACAUGAUAACGAGAGCGAAUUGUGCGGUUUUUUAUGACACCCCAUCUACCUUGGCCCUCCACAAUUUUUGAAACUAUGUCUGCAUGAAGAUUUUUCCAAAACAUCGUAUUGCCUCGACAUUGCUGCAUGCCAUGGACCAAAUCUGCAGGGAGUGAAUUAGGUGAUUUGGCUUGUGUUUCAGUCUCCCCUCCUUCAGUAAUUGAAAGCAUUGGGUUUGGUGUGAGGUUAUGGUCCAUGGUCUUCGAUAUUUAUUGUAGCCUGGUGUACAACUUAAUUGGAAAAAAGGGGGACUAAAUGCGAUGUGAGUGAAAUCAGUGGGGAAGGUAAUGGCUGCAAGCAGGAGUUAAUGUGAUGGAAGUUUUCAUUUCAAACAGCUGGGUUGAUUAAUAUAGGCAGGUUUUAAUGACCUGGAGUAACUCAGAGAGUUAUUGGCGGGAGGAUUAGGGGGAGUAAUUGGCGGGAGGGAUUGGCGGGAGUCUUAGGCGGGAUAGUAUUGGGCGGGAGUUAUUAGCCAGUUCACUGUAUGCCUUUUUGUAAUAUAGUUGUAUGUUGGACGUUCCGAACUUGGUCAUUUUCCCAUUAUUUAAUUCAAAUAAGGGAUUUGCCUAUUUGCCUAAUUGACCAACUCAUUCAAAUUGACCAAUAUGGUUAUUGUCUUAUUUCUCAUUUCAGCAAUCUCAAUUCGUUUCCAUUUUUCCAUUAUUCAUAUUUUCCUAUUUUCCAUGUGUCAUCCAAUUUUCCAAUUUUCCAAUUUCUCAUUAUUUUUGCCUAUUUUUGCCUAUUCCCUAUUUUCCUAUUGUGCAAUUUCCCAAGUUUCCUUUUGUUAUAUUUCCAGUUUUCCAAUUUUUCAAUGUUCCCAUUUUCCCAUUAUGUAAUUAAAAAAAAUUGCCUACUUUGCCUAAUUCAGAAAGUAAAUAAAAUUGUCCAAUAUGGUAAUUGUCUUAUUUCCCAUUUCCACAAUUUCAAUUCGGUUCCAAUUUUCAUAUUUUCCAUGUGUCCCUGUUUCCUAUUUCCAUUUUUCAAAUUCAGUUUUUGUCCAAUUAUCCAAUUUUCUUUUUUCCAAUUGGACUAUUUUCUAAGUUUCUUUCUUUUUCCUUUUUCCAAUUUUUCAAUUUUUCAAUUUGCUAACUUUCCUUUUGUUCUAUUUCCAAUUUUGCUAUUUUCCAAGUUGCCUUAUUUCCUAGUUUGCAAUUAUCCAGUUAUCCAAUAUUCCAAAUUUUCAAUUAUCCAAUUUGCGAAUUUGCCUAUUUUUCAAGUGUCCUUUUUUCCUAUUUCCUAUUUAGAAUUUUCCAAUUUUCUUCUUUUCAGAGUUUCCAUUUCUUCCUUUUUCCUAUUUUCCAAGUUUCCUUUUGUCCAUUUUCCAAUUUUCCAAUUUUUCAAGUUGCUUUAUUUUCCAAUUACCCAAAUUUACAAUUUUCCAAGUGUCCUUUUUUCCUUUUUCCUAUUUUCCUAUUUUCCAAUUUUCCAAUUUUCCAAUUUUCUCCAAUUUUCCAACUGUCAUUUUAUCCUAUUUCCUAGUUUCCUCUUUCCAAUUUUUCCUUUUUUCCUAUGUCCAAUUUUCCAAUUUUCCAAUUUUCCAAAUUUCCAAGUUUCCAUUUUUUCGUAUUUCCGAUUUUCCAAUUUUCCUUUUGUUCUAUUUCCAAUUUUCCAAGUUUCCUUGUUUCCCAUUUUCCAAGUUUUCACUUUUCCAAUUGUCCAAUUUUUCAAUUUUCCAAUUUCGGUAAUUUCCAAUUUUCUUUUCUGAAAUUCGCAAUAAAUGCUUACUGACAUAGUCCUAUUUUGGGUUGAAAUCCACAAUUUACAAUGUCCCAUUAAGGUUUGCUUUUUUGUCGUUUGGAAGCCAUUUUUUGUUGUUGUUAAUGUAAUGUUGUACUGCUGUCAAUUGCAGCCAAGGAGUUAAUGGUGUAGUUUGCAAUCCCAUCAAUUGAAUGCACCAACUAAACACGCAAUAUACUUCAUAGUAGUUCGUACAUAUAACUGAACCUUCCUAUAUAGAACUGCAACAGAGGCACCUUCUUAACGGGAAAGGUAAUUAGUCUUAGUGCAGCACAAACAUUCUCCACUAAAGCAAACCAUGUUGUCGUUUACAACUGGAGACUGAAUGUAGCUUUAUUUGUUUUGUUGCAGGCAACAGCUGUGAAUUGUCCCCAGUAAUACUUAAAGAUGUCGGAUGUACGCCCUCCAAAUGAGCAUGUCAGUUACCCGGGGGACCAGCUGUGGCAUGUGCCAUUCCCAUCUCCACCUCGGACUCCCAAUCAUGAUCCCACUUCAUCUGGAAGUGAGGCUGAGAUCAAUGAUCCGCUUGACCAAAUCUCUGCCGUCAAGCACCACCUCCAAUAUAUGUCAAAGGCAACGGAUUGGUGGGAGAGUAAGUGCGAUAUUCAUGGCCAAGUUAUGGGAAACUUGACGAACAAGUUGAACAAAGCAUACACAGGAGAGGUGAAGCAAACUCUAAAAGCAAAAAGUCGGAGCAAAGAGUUAGAGUCGUUGAAGUUGAAAUUGGAAGAGAGAAAGAAAAAUGUCGUCGAAAAAUUCACACAAUCUGAAGAAUAUAACCAUGAAAUGGUUGAAUGUUUCAACAACGGCUUCGAAAUGUUCCAAGAUUAUGCUUCGGUCAUCUCACCAGAAUACAAUUGGAGUGAAAUUGAUGUAGCUGGUGUCUGGCAGGUGCUGAAUAUGGGUGCUGAGGGAAUGGCUCAUCAUAGCCUCGUGCAUGCAGCGAGGAGAAAGGACAAAGACAUGGAUCUUUUGAUGGACCUGUAGUAACGGUGAGUGCUGCUUCAGUUCAUCUCACCUGAGUACAUGGAUCUUUUGUUGCCUUCAUUUUCCCUUCGCGGGAUAGUAUUGUUAAGGUUCGGUGGCGAUUUCUUUUGCAUGGGUGAAAUGUUGUCUGUAAUGUGUAUGUAUUGUAUGUAGAUUGACUUAAUAUUGUAGUUCUAUUGCAUGUAUAUUGCCUUCAUAUUGCCUGUAUAUUGUAUAUAUAGUGUAUGCAUAUUGCCACCCUAUUGUAUCUAUAGUGGAAUACUAUUGCUAUCGUAUUGCCCUUAUAUUGCUCUAAUAUUGCCUCUAUAGUGCACUUAUAUUGACCUAAUAUUGUUGUUAUAUCGUAUGUCAAUGGCAUGUGGUCUAAUAAGUCUCCACUUCGUUGAAAGUAAUCCUGAAUUCAACUAUGACGGACACGACAAUUGUUAUCCAUCCUUAUAUUACCAUGAAUUGAUGUGGACCUUUCAAAUGAUAGCUGGAGUUGCACAUGGAAUCAUAUUCAAAAGGAAAGUAAUUCUCUCCCUCAAUUAAUUGUCCUUCAAAAGAAGGCAGCUAUCAAAUAUUGGGUACAAAAAUGCAACAGCCACAGUAAAUGAAUUGGCCACAAACCACAUAUUAUGAAACCAGGAUGAUUUUUGGCAUGCUUCAAAAGAGAAGGGCCAAAUACAACAGAAAAUAAAAUCCAUUCAAGCUUGUACAAUGGAAUGCACAAUAACCCUGUUACAUGUCCUUCCAACACCAGUGUUUUACCUACUUUAGAGUCGCAGGAGGAGAGCAUAUUGCCAUUGUGCAAUUCGAGGGGCCAGUCAAUUUGGAAUGGUGGCAUAAACAUGUUUACUCCACGGAUCACUUCUAUGGGACAGAGCUUCCUUCUUCCCUUGUCGUCUGUAGGUUUGAACUUCACAAUUUUUAUGUACAUGUAUCAGAACUUGUGGCUAUUUCUUUAUGGCCUUCUAACACUUGUUCUGCCAUUCCAAAGUGGGUUGGAGAUUUUUUGACCUGAAUGACUGAAAAGACUUCAGAUGAUAGAAACUAGAGAUUUUGAAGAAAAAGGGUUAUCAAGAACAUAAGUCAUGCCCACAAAAUAAACUAAACAUGCUAUAAGCUCCACAGUAAUUUUUACUUCAUCUCCAUAAGCAGAAUAUGAGCGAAUAAAUACCACGGAGAAAUACGAGAAGUGAAAAACAACUCGGCAGUUACUGUGAGAUUGUGUACUUAAAACUUGGAAGAACUAAACCAAUUAAAGCUAAGCCAUCUCAUACGUAUACCUACAUCAAAUAACAGUAUAUGCUCAUCUUGUUUAGAAUAUUGCAAUCAACACUUGGUUGAGACCAACAUGCAAAAACAACUAGGUUAAGUACAGAUGAAGCCAUUGAUGAAGGGCAGUUCCAAAAUUAAGACUUAUGGUAAUUUGUAACUGCCACCGAGUCAGUUCAUAGUGCCAAAUGCAUCUACCGGCCAUGCACAUAUGACCAGCGAAAAGUAAAAAAGCAAAGUAAAAAAGAAAAAACAGGCAUGCUAUCAAUGGGAACCUUAGCAGAAAUCAUCACAUAUGCAUACAAGCAGAUGGGCUCCAUUACAAUGUUCAAGAAUGAUGUAAAUACUAGAUAACAGAGUUCUUAUUCAAACCUCAGGAGGUUUGUUGGUUUCAUUCCUGGACCUUCAAUAUCGUCUUGCCCAAUAGCAUCAGUUGACUUAGUCAAAGUUCCAGACAAACACUCAACCAUUUCUUUUAGACCCUGCAAGAAAGUGGCAUGACUUAAAUUUAAUUUUUGGAUGGUGCGAUGAAUUCAGUUGGUUCUUUUUCUGAUAUGCAACAUAAUGAAACUACACCAAAGAUCAGGCAGAUCUGGGAGCAUCCAUGUAAUUAUAGAUGAUAAAAAAAAGCUAUACCUUUAACACGAAGUCAGCAACUUCUUUCACAAUUUUGUAUUCACCUUUACAUAAAUAAGUAGCAAUCAGGGCCUACAAACAAACACAUUUUAGCUGUGUAAAUUUGAUGUCAAAUGCAAAGACACACACUUCAUCACAAAACCCCAAUUUGCAGACAAAAAUCUGUGAAAUUUGGUCCAGUUAAAAUAGGAAAAGAAUUCCACACUCGGGGUGAAGUAAAACUGAAACUUAGACUUCACCCACUGAUUGAUCUGGAUCACCAAAUGGAAAUGAGUACAUACGAACUGCGAUGAAAAAAUGAGAGAGAGCAUACCUGACCAUAUGCAGCCAUUGCAUCAGUUAGAAGGGAUACAGCCAACCAAACUUGUAUACAUAUCUGAUGAGCAGCCAUAGCUACUGGACUUGACGAGCAGCCAUUGAUGUUCCCAAUGUCAAGGUAGUAAGAACAGCAAGAGUUGUUCCAAGAAGAAAACCACUUGUAUCAUCCCAGAGUUGAAAACAAAAGCAAUUAGGGAAAGAACUUUGAAAAGGAAGACAAGAGAGAAUUAUCUCGAGGUUUAACUAGCAUCACAAAGACAAAAUGAAACAUUAAGACACACACUGUCCAGAUACAUGCACUGCUCAAUCAGAAAACGAAAAAAGUCAAAUAUUAUGAUAGUGUUGAUAGUCAAGCAAAUAAUUGAAGCAGAACACUUGAAAAAAAGGGCUUAUAUUUUCAGAUAUAUGAGAGGGUAAAAGUUUAAAGAAAAAGAAAAGGAACUGAGCAGAUUUUAUGUAUCCACCAAAUUGCAAUGAUCCCACCUUUGGAGGCAAUAGUAUAGCUCUCUUAUUUAAAAACCAGAUCAUUCAAAAGGUGACAGUGUAUCUGAAAACAAAAAUUCCAAAAUAUGUUCAUUUGCGAAGUAAAGCAAAAAAGGAAUAUUAACAGAAACUGUUUUGAAAAUCACAUAAUGAGAUAUAACAGUGGAAAGGGCUGCACCAGUUACACCCAAACCAAAAUAAUACAUAAGGAUGGGUAAUAAAAAUGCAGCUAGGAGAUUACCAAUACCUGCACAAAGCAAAAUACAUCAAUUAACCAGAUAGACCACUCUUUGCACUCUUUGCUAUACUUUCACUCUUUGCAAGAUCUUCAGCAACAAAAGAUGUAGCAACACUGAGGAGAGGGAUAUUAAAUAGCUUUGAUAUAUAAUUGAAGAUGUUCAUUGAAAUACCAGCUGAAGCCAACUCCACAGAACCUAUGGAAAAAUAAAAAAGCCAAAAACAUUGAAUAAAAGCUCCAAAGUUCAAUGCAUUAUACAAAUAUUAGUCGUUCAACUCAUUUAAAGGAGUGAAAACAUACCCAAUCUACCAAUGUAAGCAGUCUCCAUUAGCUGUGCUAAGGGAUCAAUGGCCUGACCCAAAAUUGCAGGUAAAGAAAGCAUCAACAGCUCACGUUUGACAUCUGGAGAAUAUGUUUGACUGAUAGGAAUGUUGCUCAACGAUAGACAGGUACUGAAGAAUCAUUUACCCAAAACAAGCAUAAAACAAUGUUUAAGAUAGGUAUCAAAUCUUGUAACCCCCAUCACCUAAAACUAAUUAAGAGUAAUCAUAAGAAUUUCUGCCACUCACUGAAAUAGACAGGACCAAGAAUCUGUUAGCAAUGUUUCUCAUAUCAGCUUCACAAUGUUUAAGAUAGGUAUCAAAUCUUGUAACCCCCAUCAGCUUGCUUGCCCUUGUAAGAUCAAGAAGGACAAAGGAAGGAAGGGACUGGCUUUCAUCAACAGUAGAAAAACUCAUCCACAGCUAUCAUGCUCAUAUUACCAUUCACUCUAACAAACCAGAGUUUUCACAAAAUGAUAAAUUUCUAACAAAUUUGAAAAAAUAUGAAUCUCUGUGCAAGGAAAAUGGGCAGUUCAGCGUAGGCAGAUCAGUAUUAAGUAGUUUACGAAAACAUAACAGUCCAUUCCAGCACUAAGAUGUCUAUCUUAUGUCCAAUUAUGAAGGGAAGAAAAAUAUAUCACAUAUUAGAAGAAAUCAUAUCAAACUAAUGAAAGUAAGAACAUCAAUUAUUUACAACGAACUAAGUCAAAACUAAAUGGAGAAAUGUUAACAGAGUUGUAUGCUUCAAUAAGUCCAGUAACAGAUUCCCAAAACCACAGACAAAAAAUGUGAACAAUGGCUACAAAAGCAUCCAUAAAGAGCAACUAUAUUCAUAUAUGGAGGUGUACAAAAUAGUUAACCUUCAAAAUCGAAAUAGUGUGUGUGCCAUGUAAGGCAAUUAGCCACUGCUUCUAGACUGUACAAUAUUACACCUCACCAUAAUAUCUAAACCAACUAGCUCUAGCAAAAAGGGAUGAUGACCAUAUGAAGUACCCCCACCAAAGCAUCUACGUCUGCAUGUUCAUAUGAAGGAGUUCCUGACAUAAGUUAUGAGCAAAGUGAAUUCCCAAGUCAUAAGUCCAUAGUGAGGUGAAUUCACGGACAUUAAGACAUUUACCUCAUAAAUAUGCCUCCCCCCUUAAACCCUCAAUUGCAAGCUUCAGUCGGUAAUAUUUGAUCUUCAAAGGGUCAACUUUAUCCACCGAAAUCCCAGCACUAAGAUGCUCGAAGAAUUUGACGGUCAUGAUUCCGCAAGACGUACUGUCAUGCCAAUAAGUUGGGAAAUUAGAACUGCAGUUAUGUAACAUUUGGAUAAACUACACUAAAUUGACAAAGCUUACCCAUCUCGUUGUUGUGGAAGACCUGCAAUGCUGCAAACUGAGAAUGGCGUAAACCUCGACAUCUGCAGCCCCUUUUGCUUAACCUCUUCAACCUCAGAAUCUUCAUAAAAGUGCAUCUCGUACAGCACUAGUACUAGCAUAUCGCUAAUAGGGUGCAGCAGUGUAACCAGCCUCGAAGAUUUGGUAUACGCAACAUAGGAGUCAUACACAGUUGUAGUAUGUCUGACGAAAUCAAUUUCGAUUGCAACCCAGUGGGACCCUCGAAGAUUAUAUGGAAAAUAGACCUUCCGGACUUUUGUCCAAGCUUGGCCAUACCCGUGCUGCCACGUACCGCGCACAUAGUGAUGUAUAUUCUUGAGCUUGUUAGGUGGAAGGUCAACAGUGUUUGAAGCAGCUGCCUUCUUCGCUCCACGUUUCUUCGCAAUCGGUUUCAACGGCUCUAGAAAUUGCUGCAUAAAUUAAAAUGGAGGCAUAUUAGAAAAUCACAACCAAAAGCAAAUGAACCAGUGAAUGUAACAUGGUAACAUGUUUACUUGCAAGCAAUAAUCUGCCGUUGUCCAGUCAGUUCCAAAUACCAACGGAUGCGAGAGUUGCCUUUUCCGGAUAAGAAAGGUUGCCAUGUCCAGGUGCUGAAAGUUGACAUAUAUACUAUGAGCACAAUUUCAUACAACUCUACAAUUAAAAAAGGUGGGAAAACAAUUGAAUUAUUGUAAUAAAGUAGAGCUUCGUGUAUUCUUACCCUUGAGCUAACCCAUUUCGUGUCAUCGAUAAGUUUGUAGAAAAAAUCUGCGCCCACUGAAAAUGAUUCCAGCUGCACCUCCGCACUACAAAAGGCAAACUUGCAACGAUUACUUUUGUACUCAUCUCAUAAUUCCGACAAAAAUACAUAAGUAUAUUAAAGCAAACUCUACAUUUUGUCAUUAGUCUAUGACUACAUACUAGAAUAGGAUGAAGAUUGGAUUUCAAAGGUAAAGAAUCCUAACCUGAUAUCGUUUUUUCAGGCAGUGCAAAACUCUAUUACUGCCUUCACAUCUUCAAUGGGCACGGAUUUUGUUGGAUCAAAACAUGGCGGGGUUGCAAUCGCGGCCAACACACUCAUCGUCUUCUUCUUUCUCAAAGGAUCAGUAAAUGGGCUCAACAAUGUCUGCGCCGGGCGCUUCUGUCUGCACCCUUUACCUUCCACUUCCUUUUUUUCAACACUCGAACUCCCUUCUUCAUCACCAGCCAUACUAACUGUGGGUAGACUUGGAGGAUUCAUUGGACCUCCCGAUGGCAUACUCUGAGUCUUUUUCCAAUCUUGCAACAAAAACAACACUCUUUGGCAGAUUUCGUCACACCCGGCCACAUCUUCCGGGGUAGGCAGCUUCUCGGAUUGUGCCUGCUCAGCUGCUUCAUGCACUUCUAAGUCAGCAACUGAAGCAGUCAUUGCUGCCUCUUCGACUACCAUGGCUGCGGAAGGUUCGGCUCCAUUAGCGGGGACUUGUGUUUCCAUUACUGCCGGUUCUGUAGGCGGACUAACAUACUCAUGUGGAGGCGAGAAGUCAUCGGCUUCUCCUUCAUUCAUAUGAGGACUACCGAGGUCCUCAUGUCCUUCCCCACCUUCAUUCACCCCACGAUUUCGUAUUUUCAGUUGCUCUAUCUCCACCUUAAAAGAAUGCUCCAUUGAAGCCAGGGUGUUGCGGAAAUCCUCCACACACUUUUUAUUUUUUUCGAACUCUCUUUCAACUUUCAAUGACUCCUUCCGUACCAUGUCUUCCAACUGAUGCACUCUGUUGCGAAGCGAUCGAUUUGAUAUGGCAACUUUGGCCAAUUCAUCCUUUGUCCUUUGAAAGUCACGCUUCAAAGUACGUAACUCAGUGGACGCGACUGUACCCUGCAUUCAAUUAUAACGCAAGUGUUACAAUAUUUCCAAAUUAUAUUGCAACAAUACAGCAGCUUUUUUCCUAUUGUAUUAUAACGUAUAUCUUGGAAACAAAAUUAAUGCUUGCCUUAGAAGACGACGGAAGGCUAGCAGUUUCGUCAAUGUCCUCAUCUUUUUCUUCUACAGAGGCUGAAGUGCCGGUUUUUUGUUCAGCGUCAUCGCCCAACAAGUCAACAAGUUCUUCAGUGUCGUCAGCACUGUCACCCCAAGUCCAAUACGGCUGCUGCUUGUCCAUUACAGAUGGCCGGCGAAGCUGCACAUCAACCUGCAAUUUACACAUACAAUAUACAUAUUAGUAAACUAAUUAUAUUAUAUUUUCAUAUCCCUAACAUUAUCAUUAAAAACUGAACUAACCUUACGGUUCUCGAAUACUUGGCUCAUUAGCUCAUAAAAACGCGGCGAACUAUUGCUCCUCUAAUGUAGUAAACGAGGGAUGUACGCAUUAUCUUCGUGCACCACCAAAUGUAGUGCAACCAACGCUGGAAAUACCUCAUACUCCCAAAUCUGAUUUGAGGAAUAAAAGGUCAGUCGUUGUAAACAAAUGCAAUUUAACUUCAACAUCAAUGGACAUUUGCUCACCUGAAGUGCAUAGGCAAAACCUUUGAGGUGGUACUCUCUUGGUCUACCAGUUGCCGUUGUUGUUGGUUUCUUCCCAGAUUUUUUUUUUUGCAGUUUUUGUGGGCACUUUCACUCGCCGGUAAUCUGCACAAAGUGCCCUCAACAGUGACGCAUUUGUCUUCGCAUAACACACAACACCCCAUGGAUACUUCCCAAAGUCUUCAAGGUCUUCCGCCAACUUCAAAUAUCGCAUGUCAAUGUGGACAUGUUUUUCACUGCCCAACAGCACAAACACAGCAAAGUAUACGAAUCCGAGCUUCAAUACAUCGUCCACAUCAUCGCAUUUGAGGAAGGCCUUUUCUAAUUCCAACAAGUUCACAGUUUUAUCAUUGGCAAAGUACUUCCGUUUCAAUGAGCAUUUCUCAUUAGUGGGAAUCGGAAUAAAGGGAAGGUUUCCAAACCUUAGCCCUGUCACGAUGCAAAAUUGCUGCGCCGUGAAUUGGAUGACCUUAUUGCCAACAAUGAAUUUGAUCCCGUUCAGUGGGGAAACUGUCUUGGGAUCAGCUUUCCUGAGCAGCAAGCCGUGGACAAUUGGAGAAGUCCACUUGAGGUCCUCAAUCCGUAGGAGAUGACCAAAACAACUCUGUUCAAACAUUUGCAGCUGCUGUUCAGUGAAUUUCUCCUUUAUCGUAGUGAUUGCGGUCUUCGUAUGGGAUAGCGACAAUGCUUUCCCUUGGAACUUUUGUUCCUCUGCAAUCAUCAACUUCAUUUGACCAACCAUAUUUCCCUGCAUGCCAAUAUUAUAAACAAACUUUCAGUCGGUUGCAAUCUAGACAAUAGCAAGCAAUAAACAAUCACCACUUAUCAACAGCCUAUUAUAGGAUAUGAAGUGAAAAAACAAAAACAAAAAGUACAUAUCAUAAACAAAACCCCAGCUAUUUACAACUGACCUCCUAAUUUAAUGGCUCAAAGCCAAGUUUCAAGACACCCAGUACUCUACCACUCCUGCAUAAUAUAAUAUCUAAACACACAUCUCAACACACCAUAUAAUCACACCAUCUAAUCAUGAGACAGCUUCAGCUAGAAUGGGAAUGUGCGGUAGCACAAGCCUAAUUGAGAACAAUUCAACACUAACGAUACAAAUCUAUCUGACUAGAAAGAGUUUUAAAAAACAACAAGACAUCGGGAAACAAUUGAUUCACUUCAACGUAUAAUGUAAUGGAACAUCCUAUGAAUUAGUGGCAACCACAAUACUGACUCUACUAUGGCCCUCCUUUAAAUGUAAGAAAAUGAAAGAAAUUGGCACCAUCCCUUCAGUUUUUUCUUAACAAAAUAUCAAAGAUAAAUUCAUAAAUAAACCAUCAAAACUGUAUAAAAUGUUUGUAAGACAUGUACAAUUACAAAAUUAUAAGUUCUCCUCAGAAACAGAGUUCUCUAAGUAUCCAUACACAAACAAGAAAAGCAAAAGCUUAAACAGUUAGCUUAUAGCAAAAUCAAUGUCCCCAUUUCUCUAAACCACACCUGCUGGUGGUAGGUUCCCAUCUUCACUCAUUUCCCGCUUUCUUUUAAGCACACAAUGAUCAAGCACAAAACAGCAAACUUUUAAAGAACUCAUAUUACACCACAUAUGGUUCUAAAGAAAACUCAUCCAUAUCCAAUAUGCAAGCCCUAAACUUAGUAAAUAGAGUUAUAAAAAAAUAUGUCGAAUUAACAAGCAUUAUUCUCAAACAAAAAGUAUGAUAUCGUUGGGAGUUUACAAGUUCAGAAUGAUAUACACAGGUUAAUUGUCUUACACUUUAGAUAUCAUCUUCAACAAACAAAAUAGAUACCAAUUAGACUUGUAAGAAGGUUAAAUGCAAUGGUCAUAAAGACUCAUACUAAGCCACCAAAUACUAAUCAAUAACUGCUACAAAAACCAUAAUAAAACUAAAAAUACAACAGCACUAAAAUGCCAACACAACAUCACUACAUUAGCAAUACACUAGCAAAAAAACACAAUACGACAGCAAUAGCAACAGCAACACAACAGUAGUGCAAGCAUCAGUCCACAAAGAACAAACCCAUUCACUGUUUGAAACAAGGAAUCAUCAUACUAAGAUCAUUUCAGAGAAACCCCAAAACCAAUUUUGAUGAAAUCCCUAAACCAAUUUCAGAGAAACCCCUAAACCUUCAACCAAUUUCGAACAAACCCCUAAACUAAUUUCAGAGAAACCCCUAAACCUUCAACCAAUUUCGAACAAACCCCUCAACCAAUUUCAGAGAAAUGCAUAAACCCUAAACCAACUUCAGAGAAACCCUUAAACUGUAAGAAAAUGUCGAUGAACAGUACCUGUCGCUGGGAGAGGAAGAGAGAAGAGAGAGUCGGAGCUGAGCGACGAGAGAUUCAGAGCUGAGCAACCAGAGAUUCAGAGCUGAGCGACCAGAGAUUCAGAGCUGAGCGACCAGAGAUGAGAGAGUCAGAGCAAAGCCACGGGACAGUGAAGAGAAACAGAGCGGAGCCAAGAGAGAGAGCCGAGAGAGAACUUCAGCAAAACAGAGAGAAUAAAAUUUCAGCAAAAGUGAUAUGUGUGCAAUAAGGGGACAAUAAAUAUAUAUUUAUAGGUUAUAGUUCCAAAUUUUUUAAAAAAGGGUGGUAUUUUCAGUUACAAUUAUAAAAAUGGUGGCAUUUAGGGCUAUUUUCCUAAAAAUAAGUGGGCACAAAUGUAGUUUUGUGUUAUACGGGUGUCACAUUUGUCAGAUAAAGACACAAUUAUUUGUGUCUACACAAAUAAAUAAUUUUACUUUUUCUGAACAACUUGUCAAAUGAUACUUAUUAUUUACAUUUAAUUGACAUUUGACACAAUUUUUUGUGUCCAAUAUAAAUUUGUGCUUUAUGUAAAUUAAUUUGACAUAAUUAUUUGUGUUUUAUGCGAGAAGACGACGAAUAAAAUUUAUUUGUGCUCAAUUUUAAAGAUUAGGGCACCAUACAUGUUCGUGAUUUUUGCUCAAUUUUGUCUAGUGCUAACUUGAAGUUGGGAAUUGUUUGCAUAGCUAUUGUUUUCCCAACUCCUCCUUUCAUGUGUAGGACUUGCUCUACCUCCCUUUUUUGUGUUCUCAAAUAAUACUUCUCUCCCUCUUGGUACCAAUUCUUCUAGAAGACUCCCGCAUAUUUGUAGCAAAAUGCUUACUUAGUUUACCUUUAUACGCCGAAAAUUUAAUAAGUUCGGUAGUUAUCUAACACGAUAUCAACUUCUUGAAACGUUUGCAGGUUUAUGAUCUCAGACAGUGCACAAAUUUAAAACAACCUAAUUAAGAUUUGAGAGGUGUCCUUGGUUAGUCAAAUAGUGCAGCUUAAUACGUAAGGCUCCAUACAUCACAAACUAAGAUUCCUACGGAACUAACACAUAUUUGGCAUCAUUUGACAAAAAGGACAAAAAAAAAAAAAAACAAUGUGCACUGAUUAAGUAGAUGGCAUAAAAUAAGAUUACUUGUUUAACUAUGAAUUCUCUUGAAUUAAAAAAAUUGAUGGAAGUGCAGGUUAGGUUAGGUCAAUUGCGCAAGAUAUUGGGCCACCCUUUAUACCUAAGUUCGAAGCUUCUAGCAAUUAUAAGUCUCGAAAUUAUGGCUUGAUUAGUCAAUUAUACCAAAAUAGAAGACCUCGAGCUUCUACAUAUAGAGUUUUCGUACAUUUAUCCAUAUUUCACUUAAUUUAAACAAUUGUAAUAAUAUAAUGGCUUAAAAUAUGACAUGUCAAAUGGUAGAGUUGAAUUUUUAUUUUUUUUUUCUCUAAAUAUUUUAUUGCUUUCAACAUUGGCUUAGCUGCCGUUAUCUCUGUCUGUCCCUCCCAUCAUGAAGUCGUAAGAGCAGCUUCAGGAGUAGUUCAAGCCAUGUAGGACUCUGGAAUAGUAUCAACGAAAUCAGCUCUCAUCCAAAGGCAUAUGUUUCCCGCAGUCAUACAUAAGACAUUCAUCUUUAGAAGUUUAGAACAAAUCUAAUUACCUUAGUUGAUAAGCAAGAAUUAUUAUGGAUGAAGAGAAGGAGAAACAGAGAGGGAGGAGAUGGAGGGUCUGAUCACUGUGGGAGAGAGGCAGGGAGAUAACGGCAGUUAGUAAUCGUCAAUACCCUUUUUUUUUUUUAAACUAAUCUUUACCCGUUGACAUGUAAUGUUUUAAGCUGUUAUAUUAUUACAAUAGCUUAGAUUAAGUGAAAUGCAAGUAAAUACACGAAUUCUAUAGUUGAGCAAGUAAAUCAUAUCAGAAUCAAAUCAGGAUUCACGUCGAUUACUACGAAAUGCCCAUAAGAUAAGCUCAUGUUAGAGAUCCUUCCAUUUAAUAUUCUUCAUCAAUCCAUCUGGAAGUACAAUAGACAGUCGUGUUUCACGACCCUCACGGGCCAUUUGAUAGCUCCACACAACAGAAAGGUCGGCAGAUGUGCCAAUUCAAACAUUGAAAUUGGUGGACACAAUUGAGAUUGAAAUGCUGUUGUGGGUUCAUAAUGAGAAAUUGAUGUUUGAAAUUGAGGUUAAAAAUGUUUGUGGUAUUGGAAAGGUGGAAUAUAUUUCUCUGUGUUGGUGGACGUUUAUCAGACUUAUCCAAAAUGUACUUGACUUCCAAUAGAAGAUUGCCACACCAUUAUUAGUGACCCAUCGCACUGUCACCUCUAGUGCUAAAAGUUUGUUCUUCGACCAAACAGAGGACCACAAAAGAAGAAAAAAAAAGUAGUUGUGUGAAAGUGAUUUUCUUCUUAUUUUUUAUUUUACUAGUAUAUGUAAUGUGUCAAUUUGGUAACAUUAUAAGAGUUGAGCAGAUCUUAACAAAGAAAAUCCUAAGUGGAGGAUCUACAUCCCCGCUUAACUUAAAAUCUCAAACUACGUAGCUUUAGACACCAAAAAAAAUAUCAGUACAGAAAACAUAUGGGAUACAUACAUGUAAUGAUCUACGAACUACACCGUAUAUUCAGCUGGAAAUUUGACAACAGAUAAAGCUCUAAAUUCCAAAGCAAUGAAAAGAAAAAGUAGAAGCAGAGGAACCAGAUAAUGUCAUUCAGAGAUGUGAUACUGGUCCUAGAUGUCAAGCAUAUCACGUGUUCCUGCACCCAUGGUUGCAGUGUAGAGUCUGAAAUACACUGAUAGGCUGUCACAAUGUUCCAAAAGCUAAGAAAUAAUGCAGAGCCUAAGUUAGCAUAUUGGGUUUUUUUAAAUUUUUUUGGCAAACGUUGGGUUUAGAUUAACAUUAGAAACACUGUCAAAUCAAUCAAUUAUCAGAGAUUAUGGUUCCAUUUUUGACAUGGCAACCAGUCUGCUCCAGAGCAGAUUCAAAGAACCCACAACCAUGGAUGCUUGAAUCUAUACAUGGUGGAGCAAAGUGGAUGAUCAUAUCUCUCAAUGUGAGCAUCCCUGUGGCCUGAUUUGAUUCAUCAACCAAGAAGCUGAAACUGCUUUUUGUGUCUGCCAUGUUUCUCAUGGCUUGCUUCAGUGUUUCAGUUUUCUUGUUGGUGACCGGUGAGUCCAUUCUUGGCGCAAAGUUGUUUUUGAGGCGCAGAAAGCCAGCUGAGAGAAGAGCCCCAAUGUCUCUUUCAGUUGUUGGAUCAGAACCUGUUUUAUGAUCAUUCUCCAUGUGAAUGAACUCCUCCACAGUUAGACUUCUGCAGUUAUAUGAUUAAAUAUCAAAUUAAACAUGUAAUAUUACAUAUCUUAAGUUAAAAUUUAUUCUUUUCUUCCUUUAACACGCCUUAGCUCCAAUGAGUUAUCCAACCCAAGGCACCAAACAAGCCCAUGAUCUUGUCAUGUUCACGCUGUUAUUAAGAUAUAACUGGCAAGGGUCUGGACAUUUAUGUGUGCCUAUAUAUAUAUAAUUUGCAGAUCAAAUGCUACACUGAAGUGGACAUGAGAAACUAACAACUCCUUUAGAUGCAUAUCUCUUUUCGUUUUAGAAGCAUAUCUCUGUUCUGUUUUCUGUUUUUCUUUGUCAACUAGAAGAAGAGGGGAGAAGAGAACGGCGAAGUUAGGAAUUGUUCAUUAAUUAGUAGCAUAUUGGAUAAACGGCUCUUGACAUUGGAUAUUUUAAGUAGCAUAUCUCAUUGCAUAUAAAACUUUUGAGAUAAAAUUCAAUAUCUGAACUCCACAACACGGUUAAGCUGGAGAGAGAGUCGGCAAUCAGUUUGAAUUUGGGGAGUUGGGGACCUCCUCUCUCCUCCUUGUCUCUCUUUUAUUUAAAAAACAAUAGCGAAAAAUAAAACGAAAAAUAUAUAUUACAAAACAAAACAUAGAAGGGAGAAUGAAAAAAUGGAUGUAACUUACUUUAUAUUGCGAGGUAGAUUCUCUAGAAGGAGGUAGAUAUCGCAUUUCCUUAUGCUACCAAUGACCCUCUUACUUUUCCUAUCUGUGACAGCAACUGCACCAUUUUGGCUUUUCCAUAGAACAUGAAGAGCUUCUGUCAUGCUUUGGUCUCCAUAUACAUGUAAAACAUGCUCUUCAUUACCAAACCUGCAUUGAAACAUCCGUAGAGAUGCAAUUCCAAACUAAAUGAGAACUUACCAUCCAAUUGUAAACUAUUCUUAUAGCUUGAUUUAUCCCCCCAAAAAAAAAAAGAUGAAGAAAAGAAAAGAAGAACAGUUUAUGGGUUGACAUACCGGAACUCUGAUAAAGGCUUGUCAGCAAUGCUAUCAAACCAGUCUAAGCCACUUGAUUGAAGCAGCAGAAGAAGUACUCCAUGCUAUCAACGCAUAAUAGAUAAUCAAGAACUUAAGCUUAGUGUGGCCUUUUGCUAAUGGCCAUAUUUGCUUCUCAAAAGUACCAUUUAUGAAGUAGAAUUUAGAGAUAAAUAUACCUGUGAAAUAAAACCAAUGAGCUUAGAACUGGUUCUCUCUAUGACAGGCACAACUUGCAGCCGAUGCUUUGAAAGUAGCAGCAGAACAUGGAAGAGUGUCUCAUCCAAGUGUACAGGGAAAUAUGAAUUCCAUAGAAACGACUUAGCCAGCUCGCCAAUCUAUCAGAAUUAAACAGAAGUGCUCAUAACGAAAUAAAAAUUUAACAAUCUGCAUUAAAGUAAUACUUCAAGCUUCUAAAAUACAACAAGGGGAUUGAAUUAUAAGUUGGAACUUAUAACAUGGUUGGCAUUUUAAUAACAUAGCCAAGGAAAUUGCAACACAAAUAUCUCUGCAUGUCAUCAACAAAUAUCUCUGCAUGUGUGUCAAAAUGCUUGGCAGGUUAUACUUUAGAGAUUCGAAAACCAUGGCAUCAACAUUGCUAAACAUAAAACUUUUCAGUUGAAAGAAGAAAAAAAAAGGCUAAUAUAAUGAAGUGAAGAUGUUAAGUGUUAUGGACUUGUAUUUCUCUAAAUGGACUUUUUGGCAUACAUUGAAUUGUUCUAUCUUCUAUGUCUACUUACCAUAUUAAAUAAAAUAAAAAAUAACUAAAAGGGCAAAAAAUAUAAAAUAAAAACCUUGGUUUGGCCAAUGUGAGGAUGCUGUUCAAGCAUGUCAAAAACACCAUAGUUGCCAAUUUCUUCAGCUCUAGUUUUUCUUCUGCGAUUCCCACAUUCCUCGAAAAUUUUCAUGAGAAGCAUUUGUUAUAUAUGUAAUUGUGUAAAUAACACUACACAAAUGUUCAUCUGGGGUAGCUUUUAAAACGUUAAAAUCUACAAAAAUGAACAUCCUUACCUCAAAAAACCAAAGAACAAUACUUGCAAAAUCAAUGAAACCGAUAUAAGGAUCCGAAAAGCUUCCUUUGGUAUUGUCAGUAAUUGGUGCACCACACACAUUCUUCUCGUGCAUCAAAUGAAUGGCAUCUCUUACACUAUCCCCAGUUUUCAAUUCCAAAACUUUCCAUUGCAUCCAUUUUAUGACAGAAAAAAUUAAAAAACAUUAUUUUCAUAAUGGGAUUUUAAGGUAACCAAAUUCAAAAAACAAACCAAAAACAAAGAUAAUGGAACAUUGGAAAUUAUAUGAUGCUUACCGGGUGAGUUUUUUAUGCCAGGGAUAGAACUGAUGAGGAUGUUAUCAAGAAAGAGUUGGAGGGCAGAGCCUGAAUCAAUUUCUUGGUUGUUUUCUUGAGUUUUAAGGUUGGAAACAAGGCUCUCUUUCUUCUGUGCCACUCCACCUUCUGAGUUUUUCAUUACAUCCUUUAUUUGCUGCAUCUUCUUUCUUUUGUCCGAGUUAGAAGUUAAUGAUUGGAUGUUAAACUGUUUUUGAGGUCUUUCUGUCUUCCUUGUAUUUGCGUGAUCUGUUUUUGAGUUCCCCCUGCCCCAAAGACAGAUGUCAAGAAUGCAAACCUUCCAAAUGUUAGUUUGUAUUGCCAUGUGGCGUUCUAAAGACUCAGUUUUGUGGUACGAUUUUCUCCCUUCAAUUUUCAUAUUUUCUAUUUAUUUUUCUCUUUUUUUAUACAAGCGAUAUUUAGGGAGCGGGAAUCGAACCUAAAACCUCGGACGCAGGGAUAAAUGCUCUUAACCACUUGAGCUACAAACCCUUGUUUUUUUUUUUUUUUUUUUUUCUGUUGUGUGGCUGGUAACUUCCUUUUUUCAUAUAUACCUGUACACAUUGUUAAACAGAAGGGUCUUUUCUUUCCUGAUCCGAAAUAAGCCAAUAAAUUAUAGAUUGGGAGAUUUAUUUAAGAGUAAUGCUACAUAUGCUAAAAGAAACUCCAAGAUUUGUGUCCAAUUAAUAUGAUAGAAUUCAUUUCCACACUACCAAGGUAGUGUAAUGUGGCCUGCCAGAUCAUUUGGCAACCAAAAUUUCAAAAAAUUUUCCUAACAAUACAUGAAUAAAAGGAGUGUUAAAACUUGAAUUAUCAUAUUGCAAUAUGAAAAUGAGGGAUGGGAUAUUAAAAGGAUGACAGCUUUAUAAUAGAAAAGGGUUUCAACUGUACCUUUGGAACUUGGAAUUAUUACUACAAAAGGCAUAGCCUACUGAUAACUAUAUAAUAUGAAAAAACACUGCUAGAAUUUGGAAUUCUCUGAUUCCUGUUCUCUGUUCUUCUCCAUUGCUAUAGGCUGCUGGUGGCUUCUCUUUGAACCAACAUUAUCAGAGACGAACACGUCCACAAGUUAAAUAAAAUGCUUUUUCUUUUUCUGAGAUACAACUAUGUUUCAAACAUUAUUCAUAAUCAAUAUUGAUACAGAAAGUUCAUAGGUUCUUAUGGAUAUAUCACCUCCACGAAGGAUGAAAGCAGCCGGCGGCGGGUCAGCUGCUGUAGCUUAUUUUUGUACAUCUCGUGACUCUAGAACUCUUAUAAGCUUAUAAACUCCAUUUUUACAAGUACUGAAGGAUUUUUCUAGUUUAAAAGGCAAAAUGCUGCAGAAGCUAUACUCCUCAGCUGCCAAAUGCACUUGAGAUGUUAAGAUCCAAACGUUUGCAAGUCUCUUUCCCACCACCAUUUUUCAACUGUGCUUGAAAAGUACUUGAGAUGUUGAGAUCCAUCAUAUAACCAUGCCAUCUUGUAUUGUUGCCUUCUCCAGAAUAAUUGUGAUUCCCUCACGAAUGUAAAAUCCCUCUUCUGGCCUAUCUGCUUCUCGAACCCCCUACAGAACCAGAGAAUAUAGACGACCAUAAGAUUGAAUAUGAUGGUAUAUAUUUCACUCAAUAAAAAGUUGGCCCAGUCAAGUUCGGUUAAAAGGUAAAACGAAAAUAUCAAUGUAUCCUAAAAAAAAUGAGACUAGACCAUGGGAAGCCAUGCUUACAUCUUUGUUCACGAUCACUGCGUCCUUCCCUAUCUUUGCAUUCUUAUCAAUUAUACAAUUCCUUCAAGGAAGAAUCAUAAAGACAUAAUUAGAAACCUCGGCGUUCUACAUUCCAUGUAAAGCUAAGAAAUGUUUCUCAAUUUGUGAGUCUAAUUACCUAAUCUUUGUAUUCCUUCCAAUACCAACUGGGACCUUCCCCUCCGCAAGCAGAGAUGCAAUUUCAGUUUCAGUUUGGUAAUAGUCUGCACCCAUCAUUAUAGCAUCCUGUAGCAAGAGGUAGCAACUUAAUAAACAUAUUCAUAAGAGUGAAAGUAAACAAACCGGUCCAGUUUUCAACUUCCGUCUUUGAAAACCAUGAAAAUUCACCUUCAGCUCAACCCCAUAAUCCAAUCGUGAACGUUCACCUACAAUUGAAUGCUGGACACUACAUUCUCGCAAGAAACAUCCAUGUGAUAUUAUUGCAUCCACAAUCUGCAAUACAAAAAUAAUGCAUGAGAAGCAGAUCGCCUCAAUGAAGUUUCCAAUAUGAGCCUAAGUACAUUAGCAUACCCGGCACUUGUCAAUCUUGGUUGGUGGUAAGAAUCGAGGAGAGGUGAAGAUAGGUGUCUUUGGGUCAUAGAACUGCAAAAAGAGAAGGUAAUUUGCCCGGACAUUAAUCACACAUCGGGGAAAGAAAAUGAUGUUGCUCUUUGUUUCACAGAAUUGAUAUUAAGACAUUAUUUAAGAACUCUACACAAUUAUAGGGAUUCAUCAUAUGUUCUCCGUGUUUGCAUGUUAUAGUCUAGAAUAACAGGGUGCCCCAGAAAAUUGUAUGGAAAGGCACGUUUGUUCUUUUUUCAUUUUCCUUUUUGUUUUUGUUUUUGUUUUUUUGGAGGGUGACGUGAACCUUUUGUGUAUGACAUGUCUAAAUGUUUGACGUCCUCAAGGAAAUGAACUGAAGGGAUGGAAUUAUGAAAUGUUGCCUCUAUAAAAACAAUGAAAUCUACCUCUUCAGUGAGGGCCAAGUUAGCAUCAUAGAAAGACUUUAUAGUUCCAAUGUCCUCCCAGUAUUCUCUGAACAUAUAUGCCUGUAAAAGCAAAGGCAAAUUAUAAGACAUUUUCUUCAAUAUUUGAGUAUAAACAGAUAAUCGGUAAGAAGAAAAUAUGAAGAAUCAUGAAUUGUUCAUGCAAAUGGCUCAAAUUUUAUGGUCUUUCAGUUGAGGCUUCACUCUUCUGUUUCCUUCAAACCUUUAUGGAUAGGGAAAAAUUCAUGGAUGAAGACACUUCAACUGUAAUGGUUAUCUUACUUGAACUUUGUGCUCUCUCACUGCUGCAGGAAUGAUUUCAGACCCGAAGUCGUUUGAUGUUGGAUAUCGCCACCUCAGAAGAUUUAGCAAAAUUUCUGUCUUAAAUACAUAAACACCCAUUGAUGCAACAUAUGGGGAUUUCAUGGCAUCUUGUGGGGACAAUCCCAGAAGCGUGGUAUCUGUUUGCUGCAGAAUGUCAACCAAGAAGGGUAAAACUUAUGUCUGAGAUAUAUUAUUCAUUAAUGCAGUCAUGUAAGUCUAAAUACAUGGGUAAUGUUAAGACACACGGAAUUUAAAUAAGAUGAACUUGGAAAAUAGUGUAAAAGAGUAAUGGAGAAAAGCAUCAGUCUCUAGUCGUGGAGAAAACUCAAUGCGUGGGAGAGGUGUUAGAAUAUAAAACAAUGGUUGACUCACAUCCUAAUCGCUUAAGAUUUUGCGAAUUAUGGUAAACCAACAAAUUUUAUCGACAGCCAAUGAAAGAGAAAAAACAAAAACAAAAAAAAAAACAAAACAAUAGUUACAUUCAAAGUCUUGUAAAGCCAAAAGGAGAAAAAAAAAACAGACCUGUCACCCACUGCGGCACAUGAAAUUGUAAUAUCAGCAUUUCUAUCAACGUGACUCUGCAUAUCAUAGAAAAUGUGUAAGAAAAAUUUAACAACAAACAAGUCCUAUAUGAAGGGAAAUUAUUAUACCUGCACAAAGUCCGUAUAAUCCAUUCGGUAAAGAUGAUCGCCACACAAAAUCAGUACAUUCUCAACAUCCCUGUUUUUGGCAUCCUGCAAGAAAUAAUGCAGUACAUUGUACCCGAAAUCAAGUUAUGCAAACCAAAGAACAACAUACAGACCCAUUAUUACUAUCAGUUCCCCCCUUCUUUAAUUUUAAAACAAUACCAUUGUUGCAAACUUCUUUACCCACCUCAAAUACCCAUAUAAAUUGCCUCACAGCAUCUGCUGUUCCUUGGAACCAAUUCAUUCCUGCUUCCCCAGGCGUUUGAGUGGCUGCCAGAACCUGCACUUGAAGUGUGCUUUGAGUCACAAAAUAAUCAAGGAACUUGAAAAAGAAAUAACACAUUGGACCAGAUGUAUUUUUUUUUAAUGAUUAAAUCCUUUUAAAUAUAAUACCUCUUCUUCUUUCUUAUAUAGCGAGAACUACUUCAUUUAACAUUAAUUACAACUAAAGGUUCCCUAUCAGACUAACUUUCAGUUUGAAAACUGAUUUUUGCAGCAUCUUUACAUAAUUAUCAGCCUACAACUAAUUUAAUAACAGACCAAUCACAAAAUGAUACAGGUAUUAAUCUGCAUUAAAGGAUUCAUUUACCUCUACAAAUCCUUCCCCAAAGUUGAUACCAUUUCCAAAAUAGGUGCGAGCAAUGUGACGAUUGAGAGAAGCAGAAUUAAACUGCGUCAGUACAAAAAUCUUGUUUAUAUUGCUGUUGAUGCAAUUGCUCAUUGGAAUGUCUAUAAGACGGUAGCAUCCUCCAACUGGGACCUGCAAUCAUACCAAAUCAAUACAUAAUACAACUUCAAUUGCGAUAUUGAAUCACAAGCUUUGAUGAAUCAUGUGCGCUUAUGGUUAUUAAUGGAGGAUCAUACAACCAAAUUUUUCUAAAACAAAUCAGCAAAAUCCAAUAUGUUUACACCAUAGUGAACCGAGCAGACCCAGCAUCAAAGCGACUAGCACCAAGGCAGCCACGCCUUCUCCCCUGCCGAAGGAAGACACACUUCUGAGGUGCCAGACACCUGCCGAAGCUCCCAACUGCCAAAUCUAAUCUCCAGGACACGUAUCGCCACCACGACGACUUGCACAAAGUCCCACAUUGGAACUUUGUGCAAACCUCCUACUCGCACCUCCCUAUAAAUAGGGAACAGUACCCAAGUAAAAAGGGUAACUAUUCUCCCACUUUUACUGUUACUCUGCCAGAAUUACUACUUGUAACUGACUUAGGCAUCGGAGAGCCUUCGGCCGACACCACACCGGUGUCCGAAGCUUAACGAUUGCUUCUCCCACUUUGUCUUCUGCAGGUCUCCCAUCAACCUAUAUUUCACCAAGGGCCUCGGCUCUCUUCCCUGCUGAAGACCCCGCAUACCUAAUCACUAAGUUGGACUCACUAUUGGCCGGGCCAUUUUGAGCAUCAACAGUUUGGCGCCGUCUGUGGGAAGUCGACACUUGAAUCCCCUCUUUCUCUAUCAGCCCAGCUGGCUCCUUCACCCAUCAGGCCCCGUCGCCUCUUCUUCACCCCACACUCUGCUAUGCCGACCGAGUAUAGCCGCGAUACCCAGCAUCAUACCCCCCGCGAUGGUACUUCUAGAAGGAAAUCUUCGGAAGAUGCCACUCUCCAGGCAGAAGUGGAGCGCCUCCGCCACAGUGUCACUAAAAUGUCGGAAAAAUACGAGCACCUUCAUUGCAGGAAUGUUGAGCUAGAACAUGACUAUCGUGCUUUAAAGUGGAACUGGGAAAGGACUCACACCCAGGAUGCCUAGCAAGACCUCACCCAGAACGUUGGGCAUACUCAGCCGAACCAGCCAGUACAUUCCAGCCACAGUGCCCCGGCCCAAACUAGGCUUCGCAAGGGUAAAGACCACCUUCAUCCAGAGCUAACCCAGUCGCGACUCCUUUGCGUUCCCCCACCGAAGGACCGGCCCCAUGAACCAGUCAGGAUCUACCAAGAUUGCAGGGAUCGCAUCUCGGACCGACAACCAGGACCGGUCCCUGUCCCUGUCAACCUCGAAGACCCACGGGCGACACACCUGGGCCCUUCGCCAGGGCCCGUCCGCAUACCAGACGAGGAACGUGUCGGGGACUCGGAUAGUUGGGAAUUCUAUAAUUCAGAGACCUGGCCAAAUUACCACACCGAGGCGCUGGAAAAUUGGGAACAAUCCCCAGUCCCUGUCUGCCCCGCCCCCAGGCCUUUAGCACCUGAAACUCUUCCUCAUGCCGACCCGGCCAUGAGGCUUCUCUUUGAAAAGGUUCGGCGUCUGGAGAGCGAACAGCAUCGCAGCCAUCAACCCCUCUGGGCAAAACCACGACCGGGGCCCUUUACUGAACAUAUCCUCCACUACCACCAGGAGAAAGAUAUCCAGCCCCUCCGCAUCGCUUUCUACACUGGCACGGAGGACCCUCUCACCCACAUCCACUCCUUCCAGUCUGCCCUUGGGUGCAAAGGCCUCACUGAUGAAGGCAUGUGCCUCCUUUUCCCUUCCACCCUCAGCGGCGCGGCCCUAAACUGGUUCUACAGACUCCACCCCCGCACCAUCAACUCAUUUGAUAGUCUCAAGCAGACGUUCCUGGAUCAUUUUAUGAUCCAAACUGAUCACCUAUACUCUGCCGACGACUUAUAUAUGCUUCGGCAGGCUGAGGAUGAACCCCUUCGGGAAUAUGCAGCUCGGUUUAGUCACGAAUACUCCCGCUGCCCGGACACUGACGACCGCGCUACCUUCGGCGCUUUUAAGAGCGGCCUCCGCGAGUCCAACUUCCACUACCUGGUUCAUAGCAACAGUUGGAACACAUAUACAGAGCUAAUGAAACAGGCAGCGAUCCAUGCUAAGGCUGAAUACUUCAAUUCCAAGCGUGGCCCAGCCAACCUGAUGCGCAACGCUUUCGCUGAUCCUCCACCUGCUUUAGCACCCGCUUCAGCCCCACCUCAGCAUCCUACCCCUACCCCAACAACAUAUAAUUAUUUUAAUAAUUAAUUUUAAUUAUAAAUAAAUAAAAUUAUAAUAUUUAGUUUUAAUUAAAGAUUACUAAAACUAUCUUAUCUCUUCUGUUCCUUUUCUUUUUCUUUUAUUUCUUCCUAUUUUCUUCUUCCUUCCCAAGUUCCUAGGCCAUCCCUGUUUUUUAUUUUUAUUUUUACCUUUCUUCCUCUCUUCUUCUUCCUUCCUUCUUAAUCAACUGUCUAGAUUGAAAACUGUAACCUUUACUGAAAGAGAGAGUGGUCAAGGGUUUUAGGUGAGAAAAAGCGCAGAGACAGAGAGAGACAGAGAGAAAGGGACAGCGAGACAGAGACAGAGGCUGAAAAUUCAAUACCAACUAUUUAUUCCAUAAGUUCAACUUGAUGUCUUCUAUGUCAUUUCCCGGAAGAAUCCUUUAAUGGGUACCAAUUAGUUUUUAGAAUUUUUUUCAAACCACUUCAAGACUAUGAAUUCAUGACUUCCUUCUCUCAGUCUCAUACAAGAAAGCCCACAUCUCAGUUAAUGGUGUCUCCUUUUGCAGUUGUCCUGAUCAUGGUGGAUGAUUUCUUGGAUCAAUCGGGUUUGAAAGUGGUUGUUGAAUUUAGGUUCAAUUGGGUUGUGGUUCCAUUGGGUUUGAAUUGGUGGUGGUUGAUUCGAGUGACUGGGUUUGAAUUUUUGGUAGUUGGUUCAGUGACUGGGUUUGACGAUGGUCUGUGGUGAUUCUGGUGGUUUGGCUGGGUCUAUGGUGGUUAUAGUUCUAGGUGAAAAAGAAGAAGCUGGUUAUUGUCAGACUCGCGUUCUCUGUUUAGCGAAAUCGCUAUUUUGCGAACCAUGUUUGAGGCUCACUAAAUUGGAAGAGCGAGUGAGGCUUUUUGUUUACUGUUGUACUAUACAAUCCCAUUUAAUUUAGUCCCCCUCCUACCAAACAUGAUUUUCAGGGGCCGUUUGGUACACCGGAUUAUUAUGGAUUGGACUAAAUCAUAGGACUGUCUUGGAUUAGCUCGGAUUAGCUUAAGCUGGUUUAAGUAUUGACCUACCUUUGGUGCUGUGUCGGACUAAGAAGCUGGAUUGUAAAAAUAGUGAAGACCUAUGUUUGGUGCUGUAUCGGAUUAAAAUAAUUAUUUAAAUAUUUAAAAUUCAUUUGGGAUUUUGACCUAAAACUAAGUAAAUGCUACAAAGAAACCAACGAAAAAUGUAUAAUUUAUUAAAUAAAAAAAUUAUAAUAUUUUUAAAAGCUAAAACUAUCUUUAUCUCAUGUCUUUCUUCUUUUUUCUUCCUUUUUCCCCCUUUUUCUUUUUCUUUUUCCUUCCCAGGCCCACUUCUUAUUUCUUUUUUCUCUCUUCCUCCCGAUCUCACUCUCUGGUUCUCUCUUUUUUUCUCCAAUAUUGAUACAAUGAUAUCCUCCUCCUUCUCUCUCCUUUUCUAUCUCCCUAUCCCAACCUUUCUCUGCAUCCUCAUCAUUUUCUCUCUCUUAUUCCCCUUUGAAGUCACCGAUUUUCAUCUCCUUUAAAGUCACAAAUCUCCAUCUGAUUUCAUUGAGCCAUGGUCGAUGGUUGAUGAUUUUUCAUAGGGUUCAAUUGGGUUUGACAGUGGUGGUUGAAUUUGGGUUGAAUUUGGUUUUGGUUCCACUGGAUUUGAAUUGGUAGUGGUUGAUUUGAGUGGGUGGUUUUGAAUUGGUGGUGGUUGAUUCAAGUGGCUGGGCUUGAAUUAGUGAUAGAUGGUUUGAGUGACUGGGUUUGACGACUGUCUGUGGUGAUUUUGGUGGUUCAGCUAGGGAUAUGGUGGUGACAAUUCUAGGUGAAGAAGAAGAAGAAGAAGUUGGUUAUUGUCGGACUCGCUUGCUCUGUUUAGCAAGCUCGCUAUUUUGCGAGCCAUGUUUCAAGCUCGUUAUAUUGAACGAAUGGGCGAGGCAAAUUUGUUACUGUUAGACUAUUUAAUCUCAUUUACGUUAGUCCUCCUCUUACCAAACAUGGGUUUUCAAGUGCUAUUUAACCUAAUUCAAUAUAGUGAUGGGUACCAAACAUGCCUCAAAGUGCUAUUUAAUACUGUCCAGGGCAGUCCAGCCUACUAAACAUGCCUGAAGUCUCAAUAAUUUCUCAUCCUAUUUAUAUAUAUGUUCCCCUUGUUAAGUGCCUCUCCUUCUUUCGUCACCAAGCCUUUUGGAACCUACGUACACACGUUUAUGCUCAUCACUUGUCAGAUUAAAUUAUCAGACACGAUUUUAGAAUUAUUAUUAUUUUACCAAUUGAAUAAAGCUAAAAAAUUAGACAAACUUGCAAGAUAUAUAUAUUUUUAAAUCCCUAGUUGAUUGAGAAAGUCUUCUCAUGGAGAUAUUUUUAUGUUCGAAUGCAGCAUCCUGCCGUGUGGUGUAACUAAUGAGUUAUAUAUAACUGGGUGUAUGAAGAGUUUAUGCCUAAUAACGACUCAAUGAUUGAUUAAAAAAAAUCCAAACCUCAGAGAUCCACAUGAGAGCAUAAGAAGAGUGAACAAAGUGGAGAGAAUUGUCGGGGAAGAGCCUGCCAUAGAAAGAGCCAGGCAUUCCUGCAAUGAAACAUGGCCCAAGCUUCUUUUCAGGUUCUUCAUCAAGUUUCUUAUAGAAGCCUGGCAAUGACCUGAACACCGUGUUGAAAUCGUUUCGGGGAAGAUCAUUCAAGAAGGCUUGGAGUGAUGGAGGUGGGCGGUUGAGCUUUUGGAAAGUGUUGCGGAUGUUGUCUAUGAUAUCUGAUACCACCAAAAGGGUGUUGGGUCCUGAAGAGCAUCCCAAGUCCGCUAUUUUCAAACACUCUGGGAAGAGAGUGCAACACAGCUCCUCUAUGCUUGCAUCAACUAUAGGCUUCACCGUUGAAAUCACUGCUCUCUGAAAGUUAAAAAAAAAGUUUAAGAAAGCAUGAAUAUUGCAUAGUUUUGGUUAGCAAAAUAGUUUGAGACCGAGCCAUGCUCUUUAAGUGUGCUUCAUAUAAAAUCAACGCAACUAGGGGAAGAGAGAGAGAGACUAACUUGAAGUAGGGAAUUGUUUGCAUAGCUUGUUUUCCCAACUCCUCCAUUCAUGUGUAGAACUUGCUCUACCUCCAUUUUUAUGUUCUCAAAUAAUACUCCUCUCUCUCUCUCUCUCUCUCUCUCUCUCUCUCUCUCUCUCUCUCUCUCUCUCUCUCUCUCUCUCUCUCUCUCGGUAUCUAUUCUGCUGGAAGACUCCCUCACAUUUAUAGCAAAAUGCUUACCUAACACAACUAACCUUUUACUUUUUUACUUCGAAAGUAUGUGGUUAUCUAACAUCAUAUCAAAAUUCCAAUUCACAGCUAGUACCUCUUAAUUACUAACUUGCACCAACAACUUUUAACGUUUUGAGGUGCAUGAUCUAACACAGCUUACGUGGGAUUAAGUACGGCAUAAGCUAGAAAUAUGAUUUAAUUGACCAAAUGUACAAACAACCUAAUCAACUUUUGAGGCGACUAAGUAGUGCGGCUUAUUACGUAGGGCCCCAUAAGUCACCAACGUUAAUUAUAUCCUAGGUCUUAAGUAUGGUCUAAAAUAUCGAUGGUAUCAAAAAUAUCGAUAGUCCAAACACAUGAUGUAGUAUUUUAUGAAAAAAAUAUUAAACACACCAUAAUCAUUUAUAUAUAAUGAUUUACAUAAUAUUGCAUGGUAAGAUACAUGAAUGACUUAGUACCACAUAGAGUUCCUAUGAAGUUCAAAUUUUUCACUAUCUUCAUCAUCUCUAUGUGUAGAGUAAGUGUAUUAAUUGUGAAGAGUAUUCAUCAAAUGAUAAAUCCCCAAAAUAGUUUUGCAUGUAAUUGUUAGCAUAUUAUCAUUAAAACAUAAGUGAUAUAUGGUGGUUAAGGUGUUGGAGGAGUAAAAUGGGAGGGGUUCAAUCCCCUUUGUGUUCCCCCCCCCCCCCCCCCCCCCCCUCUUUUUUCCCUUUUUUUUUCUUCUUCUUUUUCCUUUUUUUUUUCCUUUACAUCGAUAUUUUAGUGAUAUUACACCGAUAUUUUCGAUAUUUUAGCGAUAUUACACCGAUAUUUUGACAAAAUAUUGCUGAAGUGUGAGCAAAAUUAUCGACAUCGAUAUUUUUCGAUAUUAUCGUCAAUAUUGUCGAUAUUUAUACGAUAUGUAUAUGGAUAUAUUCUGAAAUAUCCGUGAUUCGAAAAAACCGAAAUAUCCUCGAUAUUUCAUCGAUAUUAUCGAUAUUUCAGACUAUGAUCUUAAGUAUUAAAUUCCUAUGUAACUAACACAUCUUUGGCAGCAUUAGGUGUCUAACAGUGUACACUACUUUUCCUGAAUUAAAAAUUUGAUGGCAGUGCUGGUCUCUCCUUUCCUAUUAGGUAGCUGCAAAUGGACAAUUAAAUCUUGCUUCUUCUUUUUUCCUUAUACAAACAAUAUUAGAGGCGGAGAGAUUUCAACAUUAAAUCACGGGACUAUGAAAAAUAAUUGUUUUUCGAUCAGAUGUAUUGUACAAUACAUGUCCAUUGUGUGAAACUCGUGGUCGGUGGAGAGCGAGGGCCAUCUUUUGGAGCUUAAUGACAUGGUUCAUCCAUCCAUGACCAAGGAAUCAUGCAGCAGAGCCGAAAGGGCCAAUAAUGUGAGAUCGAAUGGUCUUGUUCAAAAGGAAUUUCCUUUCCAUGGGGAAUUCUCAAUUUCUCAUGCCCAGUGUUAAGAAACUAAAAUGAGGCCUAUUCUUUUUUGUCUUAUUUUAAUGUUUCCCUUACUUUCACCAAUUUGGGCAAAAAAAAAAUGUUAACUUGCUGACAUGACUUGAGCAUAUUUAAUAGUAUGGGACACUUGAUGAAGAGAAUAUUGAGUCAGUUGAAAGUUCGAAAGAGAAAUUGAAAUUCGAAGAAAAGAACAGGGUGACUACGCUAUUAGUCUGACGGUGUUGUCUAUAGAAGUUUCCAUCUCACCAAAAAACUGCAGCAAAUCAUAAACCCAGAAAUAUUUAUAAUAAAGAAAUAAAGAAAGAAAGUUUAGAAAAUGUUACAACUUUACUGGGCUUGACUCCUAACCUUUAGGUGGGGAAGAGAGAAAAGAACGGGGUGGUUAGAUAUUUUCUAGGGUUGGCAAAGAUCCGUGUGUUUUUUAAACUAGUAUAAAAAAAUAAUAACAAAACAUACGUAUUUUUCUCUUCUUAACUUGGAAGAGAAAAGGUACACUAUACACAAAAAUAACUGGGCACAAAUGUAGUUUUGUGUUAUACAGGUGUCACAUUUGUCAGAUAAAGACACAAUUGUCAGAUAAAGACAUAAAAAUAAUUGGGCACAAAUGUAUUAUUAUUAUUAUUAUUAUUAUUAUUAUUAUUAUUUGUAAAGGACUCACUAAGGUAGUUGUUUGGAGUAUUUACUCCCUCAGGCAAGGUCCUAAGUUCGAAUCCUAGCAUCUGUGUUGUGUGUUGUGUCUAUACAAAUAAAUAAUUUUACUUUUUUUGUGACAACUUGUCAGAUGAUACUUAUUAUUUACAUUUAAUUGACAUUUGACACAAUUUUUUGUGUCCAGUAUAAAUUUAUGCUUUAUGUAAAUCAAUUUGACAUAAUUAUUAGUGUUUUAUGCGAGAAAAGGACGAAUAAAAUUUAUUUGUGCUCAAUGUUAAAGAUGAGGGCACCAUACAUGUAUUUGUGCUCUUACGUUCGUGAUUUUUGCUCAAAUUUGUAGUAAUGCUAACUUGAAGUUGGGAAUUGUUUGCAUAGCUAUUGUUUUCCCAACUCCUCCAUUCAUGUGCAGGACUUGCUCUACCUCCCUUUUUUGUGUUCUCAAAUAAUACUUCUCUCCCUCUUGGUACCAAUUCUUCCAGAAGACUCCCACAUAUUUGUGGCAAAAACUUAGUUACCUUUUUAUGCCGAAAAUUUAAAAAGUUCGGUAGUUAUCUAACAUGAUAUCAAAAUUCCGAUUAGUAUGUAGUCCCACUUAAAUUACUAUAUCUUGUACACCAACUUCUUGAAACGUUUGCAGGUUUCGCCAACAUGUAUUACGUAUCAUAAGCUUAAAAAAAAGAUAUAAUUAUCCAAGUGGACAGGGUAUAUUAUACAUUAAGAUAUUGAUGCUCCUGGUCGAUCUUUUCCUAGUAUUGACUAAUCAAGGCGCAAUUCUGAAGAUUAUUAAUAUAACGAUAUGCAAAUUAUCAAAAUCAGUCUUGAAAAGGAGGCAUGAAAUAUAUAUAUCUCGGAAUUCAUCGUUUCUGAUUCUUACCUUUGCACACUCUGACAACUAUAUAUAUUUUUAUUCUAAAACACUUGGAGAGCCUAAUAUUGGAGAAAAAAAGUCACCAGUUGGUUCUUACUGUGUUACAAAUUUUCCAUUUAGAAGUACAUCAAGAUGUUUUUCUAAAGUAUUGGACUUGAAGGGUAUUUCGUUGAAGUGUAAAGUUUAUUAGAGUAUAAGAUUCCUCAAAUUGUGACAAGUUUCAUAAUCUGAGAGAGUUAGUUAAGUCAUUAUGUUAAAGAUUAGUUAGCUAACUAACUCUGUAAUAACUCUGAUAAGUGUCAUACACAAGAUUUUGGUUAAUUUGUUUUUCUAAAUUUUGGGGGCUUACCCAAAUUAUCUAGGAAGGUUACCAUCAUAUAUUAGGGUGUUCAAGUUGUGGAACCCUAGCAAAUCAAAACCAUCAUCAAAUAAGUAAGCUUUCAAAUCAACCUUAUAAUAAGUGGUGCAAAGUUGAGAAGAACAUAUUCUUCUCGAUGGGCAAUUUCUCAUUCCUUUUACAUAUAUGCUGCAAGGCAACUAAAAUGAGGCCCAUGUUUUCUUUACAUAAUUCUUGCAGGAAGCUUUUAACACUGUAUAUGCAUUCUAGCCCAAAGCAUGUGCUUCUUUUUCCUUCGUUUCCUUAUCGCAUUUUAAGACAAACUUUGGUUCACGUGGCCAUGAAAUUUUUUCUAUGUUCCGGGUCAACUUAUUUCCAUGUCCCAUAGCUAGUUGUUGGUGUUGGCCCCGGACGGGUGCAGGCAGUGCAAAUGCUCUGAGCCCACUACCUCCAGGCACCAGCUCUUGUGCACAUGACCUCAAAAAGACCAUGAAGUCCCUUUUGAAUUGCUAAGUAUUCCUUGAACACAACGUGUUCCCCUUGUUCAAUCCUUCGCUUGCUUUUGAGACCAACCCUUUCGGAAACUACACAUGUUAAUUUUUUUUAAUCAUGUAAUAAAUAAAUAUGAUCUGAUUAAAUAAUCAGACACAACUUUAAAAUUUGCACAUGUCCAUUUCUUAAUGUAUUUCCAAUAAGAAUAAAUAAAUAAAUAAUGUCAUCGAAGACUGGUUGGUAAAGCUAAAAAAAUACAAAGUUUAUCACUCCCUCGGUGAUAUUGAGAGUCUAUUUUAAAUCAUACUGGUAAUUUGACAUAUACUUUUUUUUUUUUUUCAAACGAUGGAGAGAUUUUAUUUUAAAGGAUUAAUGUUUACAUCUAUUCUAAGGCCUUGACUUUUUCAUGGUAAACAACUUUAUCAUAAUGUCUUCUAGCACAUAUCAUAAUGUGAGAUGCGUCUACUCACAUGUAUCAUAAUGUGAAAGCAUGUAUGGCCGUAAGACGUAACACGUGAAUAAACUAUAUUCUUAUACCAUGAUUGAAUUAAUUAGAAAAUCCAACAAACACGAUCUAGUAACCAAUGAUUCGACUUAAAAAACUGAAUGUAAAUAAGGUGUGUAUUACGUAUAUCAUAAACUAAAAAAAUAUGAUAUAAUUAUCCAAGUGCACAAACAACCUAAGUUGGACGGAUUAAGAUUUCUCUAACUAAAGCAUCUUUGGCAUCAUUAGUUGUCAUGUACAUUAAUUAAGCUUAACAUGGACAUUAGAUAUUGAUGCUCCUGGUCGAUCUUUUCCAAGUAUUGUUGACUAAUCAAGGCGCAAUUUUGAAGAUUAUUAAUAUAACGAUAUGCAAAUUAUCAAAAUCGGCCUUGAAAAGGAGGCAUGAAGUAUUGUUGAUUAAUAAUUGGUGAAUGAUUAUAGCUUCCUAUUUUAAGAAGCCGUUGAUGCAUCUAGGCAAAGAGCAGAAGUCUAUCUAGGCAAAGAGCAGAAGUCUUUCUCUACACUCCUUAUGCAAGCCUAUGUAGGGUAGGGUUUUUGUGCUUGUAAUGUGUGCAAAAGUCUUGCUCAUCCAUAUGUAUAGGUGACUGUAUUUGGGUCCAUAUGACCCUUUUGAUCCAAUAUGGUAGGGUUUUUUGUGCUUGUAAUGUGUGCAAAAGUCUUACUCUACACUUCUUAUGCAAGCCUAUUUAGGGUAGGGUUUUUUGCGCUUGUAAUGUGUGUAUAAGAGAGGAGAGCUAAGCUUUAUAUGCAUAGGUGACAGUAUUAGGGUCAGGGACGGACCCUCGUUGUGUACAAACUGGGCUAUAGCCCAGUCAAGUAUUUUUCUUUUGUUAUUGUUAGUAUAAAACACAUAGACUAAAUAAGUUGCAAUAUGUGUUGUGAGUUGUCAACUAAUGUUAAUUUUAAGCAUAUAUAAUCAAUUGUUGCUGACAUUGUUGGUGUAAAAUUGGACUUUUAAAUAAAUAAAAUAAAAAUGAUAUGUCCUUAAAUUAAAUUUGUAUAAUAUUAUGAUUAAUUCCAUAAGUCUUCCUAUAAAAUUUUGCCGGAUCUAAAAUUUAGCUCACUCUAUUUCGAAAUCCUGAGUCCGUCCUUGAUUAGGGUCCAUAUGACUCUUUUGACCCAAUAUGGUUUCCACUUGCAUUUUAGGCUUUUAUUUGCUUAUUGUUUCCACCUUGGGCAAACUGAAUAAAGUCUGAACGCGCCAAGGUGGAUGUGGAGGAGAGCUUCAACUUUUAAUCCAACAACUUCAACUUCUAAAACAGAACAAAAAGAGAUCAUCGCACUGCAUCAACUACUGUUUUCCCUAAUAUAAGCUUGAGUGCUUCUUCACCAUGCUCAUCAAUUCGUAUCUACCAAAACAACAAAGGGGGGCUUGAGAAACACUCAAAAAAUCUUAUUUUUCUGAGCAAAUUUUGAUUUGAUUUGUGACUUUUUGUUUCUUCCUAUUUCUAACCAAUAAUUUGCGUUCGCAAAUAUGAAAAUCUUUUGCACUUUAAAAAUCCCGUAUUUGUUUUCUCGUACUUUCAAUAUUACGGUAAGGGGAAUAAAACUAUGUCAAGUUUAAGGAUAAACAAACUUAGUCACUUAAGCAACAAAUCUUUUAUUUACAAAUAAUAUUUUUAAAAACCUUGUUGGCCUUUUUUUUUUUUUUUUCAAGUGUAGGUGUUUUGUUGAUGUCUAGUUGUUGAUGCCUAGUUGUUGUGUCUAGUUGUUGAUGGCUAGUGUGGAUGCAGAUUUCGUCCAAAAAAAAUAGUGUGGAUGCAGAUAGAACAGUCUGUUUUAAAGUCUCAAUAUCACAAUCACACCUUUAAUAAUAGAGGAACUUUUUUCUUUGGUCAAUUAAAUAAUAGAGAAACUUUAAGUCCCACUCAACAGAGGAUCCCAAUGCCCACUCACAAAUGUACGGACGUGACCACACGAAGGAUGUUCAUAAACGCGAAAAUAUAUUAUGGGGCGUGAGAAAACAAAAUCCAAUUAGGCGAAAAAUUGUGGAAGAUGUUGCGCCAAGUGUCGCGCGUUGAUGUGACACCUCUUUUUUAUUUAUUUAUGUAUUUAUUUCAACAUCAACCCAAAUUGAUGAUCCAAAUUAAAUUCAAGAUAUUUUAAUAGUUAAAAAAAAUAUUUAACGAUUAAUAUUUAAAUUUAGCGGUUAAAAUAAUAUUUUAAAUUAAUUUAAAUCAUAUCCAAAUUCACUCUAAACUCUAUAAAUACUCACUUAUUUCUCAAAUAAAAUUAUAUUUAUGGAAUUUCAAUUUUUUUAGUCAAAUUGUUCUAAAAAAAUUAAAUUAUGAAGUUAUUUAAAAAGAUUAAAUGAAGAAAAAUUAUCUAUGGAAAAAAAAAUGUUAGACUUAAACCAUUCUUAAACAAUUUAAUAAAGUUGCGGACUAAAAAUUUGAUUAUGAAGGGUUGGGGAAAAAAACGGUUUUGAUCUGGGCAAAACCCAAAUAGUUACUUUUUAAAAGGGGAAAAUUUGGGUUUAGUACCAAAUGAGUUGGAGAAGGCCUAAGAGAAUUAAUUAAGAUGGUUUUCACACCAACUGCUUGAAGCUUCAAGGAGGUUUCUUCUUAAUGUUCACCAUGUGACAAGUAUUCUGUUGACUAGAGCUCCAUUAUCCCGUCUCCUGAGACCACUGUUUGUAACUCAAUACUUUUUUCAUUAGACUAGAUUCCGUUGGUGAAAAAUUUAUUAUAUUCUACAUUAAUGUUGUUAAAAAAAGUGGUACAAAUCACCUUUUUACCCAAACUAGUGUGUCUUUUUUGUUGUUGUUGUCUCCGUUAAAUAUACUUGAAUACUUUUCUAUUUGAGUGGAUUGUAUUUUCCAGCGAUAAUCUUCCCGUGAUGACCAGGGACGGACCCAGGAUUUCAAAAUGACGUGGGCUAAAUUUACCUUACAUACAAACCUAUUGAAAACUCAACGGUACGAGUAAAUUUUAUUGAUAACAAAAAAAUACACGAGAGACAUAAUGAGUCUUACCCCUCAAAUAACACUUAUAUAAGUUGCGCUAUUCAAGUCUUCACAACAUUAAAAUCACUAAUUAUUGAUUCAUUAUUUAUAUUAUCAGCAAAUUCUCUUUCAAUAUGAAGUAGGAUACAAUUAGCAAGAAACUCAUCACCUAUCUUAUUCCAAAGUCGAUUUUUAAUAAGUCUCAUACAUGAAAAUGCUCAUUCUGUUGUUGUUGUAGACACAAGAAGAGUUAGAACCAAAUGAAUCAAUCUAUCAAUCAAGUAGUAUGUUUCUGCUAAUUUUGUUCUUUUUAUUUAUUUGUUGGUCAACCUAGUCCUAAUAUAGUUAAUAAUAUUUUAUUUAGGUGGUUAGUCAAGUCUUAAUGGGAUUAAUUAAUAAUAUUUUAUUUAGAUGACCUAGGCUAGAAUAUUAAUUUAGUCUAUAAAAAAAACAAGCUGCCUGGACUUUAGCCCAAGUUAGCAUGUUAGUAGGUACGUGCCUGGUGAUGACUUAAGAAAAUGAACUAUUCGGAUAAUGGGAAGUAUUACGGAGUGGAUACAAAAAAGUAAUUUUCGUAUUAGCUUAUUAACUAGUUAGCACUAAAAAGCUAUUGAUUGUAGUAAACAUAUUUCCGACAUGUAGUCUAGAUAACAGCCAUAAAUGUGGUUUAAUGUUAGUUACUAGCUAGCUACUUACUAUUAUCUAUCUAGCUAAUAUCUAAUCAUCUAUAUUACACAUUACAUCUAAAACCAUGUCAUUGAGUUUCAAUCCGACCAAUUCCAUAAUGUAGAGGGGAUAAUGGCUCUGUAUGCUUGUUUUUCCUAGGUGCUAACCAGAAGUGUGUGCCAGAUUAAUUCAUUCACACACAAACAUUGGGUGCAACAAGUAUCUGCUUGUUUUUCUUUUGUUUCCCUGUCGCUUUUUCAGACAAACUUUGGUUCACGUGGCCAUGAAAAAGCUUGAGGCUGAGGAUUCGAAGUACAAAAACAACCGAACCUUAAUUCUGGUAUUCAGUUAGGAUUUUUCUAUCAUCUGAGUGGCUAAGAUUGUGUAAUAGUCAUCUGUUUAAUAAGACAAUUUUACUAUUAUUUAUUACCCCUUGGCCCCUCUGCUUUUAUCUUCAAUCUCCCUCAACUUCUUUCAAUGUCUGAUAGCUAUUUAAUAAAAUCUUAAUCUCCUGCCAUCCAUCGAGGUUUAAUUUAUUGAAAAAUAGUAUUAAUUUGUAGAUCAGAAGUUUUAAGUUCAAAACCUCAUCACAUCUCCCAUAUCUAAUUAUGUGUGUUUGAAUGGACUAUCGAUGGGACACUAAAAGAUAAUUCCUAAUCUCCUGUUUCAACUCACCAACCCUCUAUUUUAUAUGUAUAUUAAAGAGAAGAAGUUGCAUCUCGGCGAGAGCAAAAGUUGUAGUGUACACUCCUUAUGCAAGCCUAUAUGGGAGAGGGGACCUAAGCCGAUAACGAAACAAUUCUUAGAAAAGAAAAAACAACAAAUCCUUAUUUGGUGUUGAUGUAUAUUGUGGAUGCAGAUGGAGUAGUCAAUUUCUUUGAGUGGUCGUUUGGUACGGCUGAUUAUCAUGGACUAGACUAAAUUUUGGGACUGUCUUCAAUUAGCUUGGACUGGCCUCAGCUGUAUUGAGUACUGACCUACGUUUGUGCUGCGUUGGACUAAAAAGCUUGAUUGUUAAAAUAGUAAAAACCUAUGUUUGGUGUUGCGUUGGACUAAAAAAUAAUUAUUUUAAUAAUUAAUUUUAAUUAAAAAUAAAUAAAAUUCUAAUAUUUAAUUUUAAUUAAAGAUUGCUAAAACUAUCUUAUCUCAUCUUUUUUCUUUUUUUCUUCUUUUCUUUCUUCCUAUUUUCUUCUUCCUUCCCAAGUUCCUAGGCCAUCCCCUUUUUUUUUAUUUUUCCUUUCUUCCUCUCUUCUUCUUCCUUCCUUCUUAAUCAACUGUCUAGAUUGAAAGCUAUAACCUUUACUGAGAGACAGAGUGGUCAAGGGUUUUAGGUGAGAAAAAGCGUAGAGAGAGACAGAGAGAUAGAGACAGAGGCUGAAAAUUCAAUACCAACUAUUUAUUCCAUAAGUUCAACUUGAUGUCUUCUAUGUCAUUUUCUGGAAGAAUCCUUUAAUGGGUACCAACUAGUUUUUAGAAUUUUUUUCAAACCAAUUCAAGACUGGGAAUUCAUGACUUCCUUCUCUCAGUCUCAUACAAGAAAGCCCACAUCUCUGUUAAUAGUGUCCCCUUUUGCAGUUGUCCUGAUCAUGGUGGAUGAUUUCUUGGAUCAAUUGGGUUUGAAAGUGGUUGUUGAAUUUGGGUUCAAAUGGGUUGUGGUCUUAUUGGGUUUGAAUUGGCAGUGGUUGAUUCGAGUGACUGGGUUUAAAUUGGUGGUGGUUGGUUCGAGUGACUGGGUUUGACGAUGAUCUGUGGUGAUUCUGGUGGUUGGGCUAGGUCUAUGGUGGUUAUAGUUCUAGGUGAAGAAGAAGAAGAAGAUGGUUAUUGUCGGACUCGCAUUCUCUGUUUACCGAAAUCGCUAUUUUGCGAACCGUGUUUGAGGCUCACUAAAUUGGAAGAGCGAGUGAGGCUUUUUGUUUACUGUUGUACUAUACAAUCCCAUUUAAUUUAGUUCCCCUCUUACCAAACAUGAUUUUCAGAGGCCGUUUGGUACAUCGGAUUAUUAUGGAUUGGACAAAAUCCUUAGACUAUCUUGGAUUAGCUCGGAUUGCUUAAGCUGGAUUAAGUACUGACCUACCUUUGGUGCUGUGUCGGACUAAGAAGCUGGAUUGUAAAAAUAGUGAAGACCUAUGUUUGGUGCUGUAUUGGAUUAAAACAAUUAUUUAAAUAUUUAAAAUUCAUUAGGGAUUUUGACCUAAAACUAAGUAAAUGCUACAAAGAAACCAACGAAAAAUGUAUAAUUUAUUAAAUAAAAAAAUUAUAAUAUUUUUAAAAGCUAAAACUAUCUUUAUCGCAUGUCUUUCUUCUUUUUUUCUACUUUUUCUUUUGAGUGCUGUUAAACGAACCCUAAAAUUAACUGAGUACACCCUACUACCAAACUAUUUAUUGAAGUACUAAUUUAUCCUAAUAUAAAAUGACCAAAAAUGAUAUAUUGAAUUGUGAAACAAAUAAAAUUUUAAUAAGUACACCUUACUCACUAUAUUCAAUCCUUAUCAGACAUAGAAAAGUCUUCGUAUUGCUUGGUGCUCACGAAUAACGCAGCGAGUACUAGUUUAGGAUUGGUAAUUUUGAUGAAACCCAAAAUCUGAAAAGAGAGCACAGAUUCAUAUAAACAGAGAAACUUGGUUUAGGAUUUGUAUUAGAGUAUUGUACUAUGGCUAUUUUUGGUAGUUAAAUAGGGUGUACUUAAUUAAUUUUAUAUUUUGAUUAAAAUAUUAGGGUUAACUUAGAUUAUAGGGUGUACUCAGUUAAUUUUAGGGUUCGUUUAGCAGCACUCUUUCUUUUGUCUUCCCUUUUCCCCCUUUUUCUUUUUCUUCUUCCUUCCCAGGCCCACUUUCUUUUUUCUUUUUUCUCUCUUCCUCCCGAUCUCACUCUAUGGUUCUCUCUUUUUUUCUCCAAUAUUGAUACAAUGAUAUCCUUCUCCUUCUCUCUCCUUUUCUAUCUCCCCCUCCCAACCUUUCUCUGCCUCCUCAUCAUUUUCUCUCUCCUAUUCCCCUGUGAAGUCACCGAUUUUCAUCUCCUUUGAAGUCACAAAUCUCCAUCUGAUUUCAUUGAGCCAUGGUCGAUGGUUGACGAUUUUUCAUAGGGUUCAAUUGGGUUUGACAGUGGUGGUUGAAUUUGGUUUUGGUUCCACUUGAUUUGAAUUGGUGGUGGUUGAUUUGAGUGGGUGGGUUUCAAUUGGUGGUGGUUGAUUCAAGUGGCUGGGCUUGAAUUUGUGGUGGAUGGUUUGAGUGACUGGGUUUGACGACUGUCUGUGGUGAUUCUGGUGGUUCGGCUGGGGAUAUGGUGGUGACAAUUCUAGAUGAAGAAGAAGAAGAAGUUGGUUAUCGUUGGACUCGCUUGCUCUGUUUAGCAAGCUCGCUAUUUUGCGAACCAUUUUUCAAGCUCGUUAUAUUGAACGAAUGAGCGAGGCAAAUUUUUUACUGUUAGACUAUUUAAUCUCAUUUAGGUUAGUCCUCCUCUUACCAAACAUGGGUUUUCAAGUGCUAUUUAACCCAAUUCAAUAUAGUGAGGGGUACCAAACAUACCCUCAAAGUGUUAUUUAACACUGUCCAGGGCAGUCCAGCCUACCAAACAUGCCCGAAGUCUCAAUAAUUUCUCGUCCAUUGUAUGGAUCAUAAACGCGAAAAUAUAUUAUGGCACUAGUAAAAAAAACCCCUUGCGCGACCAAAUUUUGCGCGACGAAAAACUAUUCGUCGCUCAAAGUCACUUUGCGCGACGAAACUCAAAACUUCGUCGCUCAAAGUCUUGCACGACCAAAUUUUGCGCGACAAAAAACAAUUCGUAGCGCAAAGUCACUUCGCGCGACAAACUUUUGCGCGACGACAAUACAUCGUCGCUCAAAGUCUUGCGCGACCAAAUUUUGCGCGACGAAAAAAAAUUCGUCGCGCAAAGUAACUUUGCGCGACAAACGUUUGCGCGACAACAAUACAUCGUCGCUCAAAGUGACUUUACGCGACGAAACAAUGAACUUCGUCGCGCAAAGUCCUUAUAAAAAUAAAAUAUAUAUAUUUUAAAAUGUUAAUCUUUGCAUGACGUAAUCCAAACAUUUCGUCGCCUAAACUAAUUUAUUUUUGUUUUUUAUUUUGUAUGCAUAACACUUAAGAAAUUAAACAGUAUAUAUAUUUAUUAAGUAGCUUUAAAUUUAUUAUUUUAGAUCGGAUCGGAUUUUUGUUAGAAAAAUAUAUUAUUGUUAUUCAGAUUGGGUUUUUGUUAGAAAAUAUAUAUUUUAAAUUGACGAUCGAAUUAGUUCAUUGUAUUCAUAUAGGGUCAAGGAGUGUAGCUGUAAAAAAUCAUCAAAAUCGGAGUUAAAAUAACCGUUAAAUCGUGAUUUUUCAUUAUAACCGUCGAAAAGUUUUGUCCCAUUAUUUGAUCUCUGAAUGUUUAUUUUUUUCGAUUUUUGGCGUAUAUGAUCUCGAAGUAUAAACAAACAAGUUUGACGGUUGGAUCGUUGAAACUAGUUUUGGUGAAUGCAUAUGCCAUCAAAACAAUAUAUUCACUAACAAUUAAGAGUUUAUUUAUACGUUCGUUAAAUAUAACAUAAGAUUUAAUGGUAUCCACUAGUGUAAAUAUUUUAAAUUGAAGAUCAAAUUCAGUCAUUGUAUUCAUAUAGGGUCAAGGAGUGUAGCUGUAAAAAAUCAUCAAAAUCGGAGUUAAAAUAACCAUUAAAUCGUGAUUUUUCAUUAUAACCGUCGAAAAGUUUUGUCCCAUUACUUGAUCUCUGAAUGUUUAUUUUUUUCGAUUUUUGGCGUAUAUGAUCUCGAAGUAUAAACAACAAGUUUGACGGUUGGAUCGUUGAAACUAGUUUUGGUGAAUGCAUAUGCCAUCAAAACAAUAUAUUCACUAACAAUUAAGAGGUUAUUUAUACGUUCGUUAGAUAUAACAUAAGAUUUUGUGGUAUCCACUAGUGUAAAUAUUUUAAAUUGAAGAUCAAAUUCAGUCAUUGUAUUCAUAUAUGGUCAAGGAGUGUAGCUGUAAAAAAAAUCAUCAAAAUCGGAGUUAAAAUAACCGAUAAAUCGUAAUUUUUCAUUUAUAACCAUCGAAAAGUUUUGUCUCGUUACUAGAUCUCUGAAUGUUUGUUUUUUGUGAUUUUUGGGGUAUACGAUCUUGAAGUAUAUACAAAUAAGUCUGACGGUUGGAUCGUUGAAUGGUGUGUGUAUAUAUAUUUAUUUAUUAAGUAGCUUUAAAUUUAUUUAUUUUGUACGUAUAACACUUAAGAAAUUGAAUAGUAUAUAUAUUUAUUAAGCAGCUUUAACGUUAUUUACAUUUUAAAUUGUAAAAUAAAAUAAUUUUAUUUUUAUUAUUCAUAACAAUUAUUUUUAUAAAUAUUGUGUUACGAACCAAUUUUUCGUCUCUCAAAAGUUUGCGCAACCAACAGUUUGUCGCGCAAAACUCCAAAAAUUUGGACGGGUACCAAAAAUGGGACACUGGAUUUUUAAAAAAAAUAAAAAAAAUUUAGACUUUGCGCGACCAAUAUUUUUUGUCGCUCAAAACUUUGCGCGACCAAUAUAUAUUUUUCGUCUCGCAAAAAUUUGGGCGGGUACCAAAAAUCGGACGCGGGAAUUUUUUUAGACUUUGCGCGACCAGUAUGUAUUUUUCGUCGCGCAAAAAUUUAAAAAUUUUGGCGGGUACCAAAAAUGGGACGAGGGGAUUUUUAUUUUUUUUAAAUAAUUUUUUUAGACUUUGCGCUACCAAUAUUCCUAUAUUCGUCGCGCAAAAAUUUAAAAUUUUUGGCGGGUACCAAAAAUGGGACGCGGGGAUUUUUAUUUUUUUUUAAUAAUUUUUUUAGACUUUGCGCGACCAAUAUUCCUAUAUUCGUCGCGCAAAAAUUUAAAAAUUUUGGCGGGUACCAAAAAUGGGACGCGGGGAUUUUUAUUUUUUUUAAUAAUUGUUUUAGACUUUGCGCGACCAAUAUUCCUAUAUUCGUCGCGCAAAAAUUUAAAAAUUUUGGCGGGUACCAAAAAUGGGACGCGGGGAUUUUUAUUUUUUUUAAAAAAAAUUUUUAGACUUUGCGCGACCAACAAUAUUUUUCGUCGCGCAAAGUGAUACGGUUUUUAAAACCGAAAUAACUCAUCCACCAUUUUCUCAAUGCCUUUCUCUACUCUUACCUCUCCUUUCUCUUUCCCUCUCCCCAAAUCCCACCAUUUCUCUCACUCACUCCUCUCACUUAAUCUCUCAUCUCUCUCUUCACUAUCUCUCACUCUCUCUCACUCACUCUCUCAUCUCUCUCACUCACUCUCUCAUCUCUCUAUCACUAUCUUCUCUAAUUCUCUCACACUCACUUCUCCCUCUCAUUCUCAUUCACUCUCAAUCUUGCCAAAAGGUAUAUUCUCUCCAAAUUUUAAAUUUUUUUCAUUAAUAUGUGUUUUUGGAGUUAAUUUUGAGUUUGUGUGGGUUUUGGGGUUGAGUAAAGGGGAGGGAUUGGAGUUUGGGUUGGAUUUGUGGUAUAACAAUUUUAGGGGAGAUUAUGCCUUCUUUUCUUUUCUUUUUUUGUGUGGUUAUUUAACCAUAUUUAUUUUUUUUGUAGGGAAUCAUCGAGACUUUGACGGCUAAAGUUGAGGAUUAGGAAGCUAUCAAAACAUAUCCUCCGCCACUACUACCACAAUACGCUUGUAUUAGGAUUUUAUUAUUGUACUUUGUUAAUUUAUGUGUACAUUUUGAAUAUUAUAUAUAUAUAUAUAUUUAUUGGAUAAUUUAAUCACUAUUUUUCAUAUGUAAUUUUAUUUUGAAUAUGUCAAUUUAAAUUAAAGUAAUUAAAAAAAUCAUACAAUUAAAUUAAAUUUAAAAAGUAAAAAUUAAUAUCAAUUUAAAUUAAAGUAAUUUUAAAAAGAAAUCAUACAAUUAAAUUAAAUUUAAAAAGUAAAAAUUUGAAAAAAUUCAUAUAAAUAAAUUCAUAUUAAAGAAAUAAUAAAACAAAAAGUCAAAAACCUUGCGCGACAAAAUAUUUCGUAGCGCAAACUAUUAAAUUAGUUUAUUUUAAAUUAAAAAAAUUUAAAACAAAAAAUAUUUCGUCGCGCAAGUAUUCGUCGCGCAAAACUCAAAAAAUUUGGGCAUGUACCAAAAAUUGGACCCGGGAAUUUUUUAUUUUUUUAAAAUUUUUUCUAGACUUUGCGCGACCAAUCUUUUUCGUCGCGCAAAGUCGCUUUGAGCGACCAAUAUUUUUUCGUCGCGCAAAGUCACUUUGCGUGACCAAUGAAAAAACUUCGUCGCGCAAAGUCUUUCUUCACGAUCUUUGCGCGACGGAUUCUGCGCGACGAAGUUUCUGUCGCGCUGAAAUUUGUGCGACUACAAUGUAUUUUGCGCGACGAAAUUUUUUUCGUCGCGCAAAGUGUAAAAUGUAGUAGUGUGGGGUAUGAGAAACAAAAAUCCAAUUACAUGAAAAUAUCAAUGACCAACAAGCUUAAACCAUAAAAAUUCACUUUCAAUUUCGCAUACAAUAACUAGAUUGGAGUUUUGGGUUCAAGCAUCAAAUUAUGUGGUGGAAUUUUUUUUUUAAUUUAAAAAAAAAAUCUUGUUAAACUUGAGCUGGAGUUUCUAAAUCUUCUUUGUGUGCUUCUAAUCAACAAAAAACAUAUAAUUAACAAUCUUGAACAUGAACUUCUUUUUUCAAGGGUCUUAAUUUGAGUUUGGAUAGCUAGUUAGGGUUUUGGGUUUUCUACGAAUCGAAAACUGAAGCUAAAUUGAUAAUUUUUCGAAGAAACUUCGCUUCCAUUUCCUUUAACAGGUUUUAAAUCAAAGUAUGAAUAACACAAAGAUGACCAAAUGUCAACAACUUUAUUCUUCACAAUAAACUGAAGUCCAAAAACGACCCGAAAGGUACAAACGUUACAUAAACAAAGCAUAUGGAACAUAAGCCCCAUUUCUUGAAUAUUCAUCUCAACGCUUCUUUGUCAACGAGAUAACCAGGUUAAUGAACUGGCAGUUUUCCCUUUCCAUGUGAUCAAGAACAUCUGCUUCAAACCUACGAAACAAAUCGUCCAUGGGUGCUUCUCCGAAUUGGCUCGCCAGAAUCGGCUCUCCCACAGCCCUUAUGUCAGUGGCAAAUAUUGCAGCCCUUGUCUUCUUAUCCAGGCCACUGUUAGCUUGCUUGACAUAAGAGUCCCAAUCAUUUUUGAAAACUUCAAGGUUUUGCAAAAUAAAAGAUCCUUCAGCCUCGAUCACCUCUUCGAACUCCUUGGUUGUAGGUGCAUAGUAUGGCAUAUUGAAUGUGUCCAAUUUUUCCCCUUCAAUCAAACCCUGAAAAUUCAUCAAAUUGGAAAUAAUUAAUGUGUCCCAAAUCUAUUAGAAAUAAAUAUGAUCUAAUAUUUAAUUACCUCUAAAACCAUGUCAUUGAGCUUCAUUCCUACAAAUUCCCAAAUGCAGAGGGGAUCGUCACUCUUUAUGCUGCCCAUGGUUGUGAGGACCAUACUGCCACCAGGGACGAGCUCUUCGGCACGUGACCUCAGAAAGACUGUGAAGUCCCUUUUGAAUUGCUCCAAGUAUUGCUUAAACACGGCUGGAGGGCUUGUCUUUGCUAUAUAUAUGUUCCCCUUGUUCAGUGCCUCUCCUUCUUUGGUCACCAAGCCUUUUGGAACCUACGUACACACGUUUAUGCUCAUCACUUGUCAGAUUAAAUUAUCAGACACGAUUUUAGAAUUAUUAUUAUUUUACCAAUUGAAUAAAGCUAAAAAAUUAGACAAACUUGCAAGAUAUAUAUAUUUUUAAAUCCCUAGUUGAUUGAGAAAGUCUUCUCAUGGAGAUAUUUUUAUGUUUGAAUGGACCAUCCUGCCAUGUGGUGUAACUAAUGAGUUAUAUAUAACUGGGUGUAUGAAGAGUUUAUGCCUAAUAACGACUCAAUGAUUGAUUAAAAAAAAUCCAAACCUCAGAGAUCCACAUGAGAGCAUAAGAAGAGUGAACAAAGUGGAGAGAAUUGUCGGGGAAGAGCCUGCCAUAGAAAGAGCCAGGCAUUCCUGCAAUGAAACAUGGCCCAAGCUUCUUUUCAGGUUCUUCAUCAAGUUUCUUAUAGAAGCCUGGCAAUGACCUGAACACCGUGUUGAAAUCGUUUCGGGGAAGAUCAUUCAAGAAGGCUUGGAGUGAUGGAGGUGGGCGGUUGAGCUUUUGGAAAGUGUUGCGGAUGUUGUCUAUGAUAUCUGAUACCACCAAAAGGGUGUUGGGUCCUGAAGAGCAUCCCAAGUCCGCUAUUUUCAAACACUCUGGGAAGAGAGUGCAACACAGCUCCUCUAUGCUUGC
RNAcentral lists this long non-coding RNA (58371 nucleotides) under Prunus persica (peach). RNAcentral's name for it is "long non-coding RNA (PPER_LNC008289)". The record is from RNAcentral. Lineage: Eukaryota; Viridiplantae; Streptophyta; Magnoliopsida; Rosales; Rosaceae.